UGCUUGCGUGAGGUAUGGUGGCUGUUCCCAGUUAUCAUGGUUUUGAGGGGGAAAAGUUGUAUUUUGGUGAGAUCUCGAACAGAAAGUGUUCCAGAGUUAUUGAAGUCGGAAUGGGGAAUGAUGGGCUUCUGAUUUGAACUAAAUGAAAGAUUUUAAUUUUUUUCUUCGGUCAAUGCAGCAUCUGGUAUGUUGGCGGUAUUGGCUGCCAAAUUUGUUAUGCGACAAACAAGCCUUUGGAGUUCAGUUGCUUUUUCAUCAUUCUGCUGGAUUUCUGCAUGAUAUCUUUCUUGAAAAAUUGCAUUACAAUAGAGUUUCCUUGUUUGCUUCAGACUGUUAUACAAUUGAACUUGACGACUUAAGAAAAUGCUGCUUCUCGGUCGUAUUCUUUUUGGAUCAAUCCAUGAUUACAGUAUCAUACUGUUUCACUUCCGAUAUAUCAUGGCCAUUCUUUAUAUGAAAAGGUAGUUGCCUUUUGGCCAAGCUUAAACUUACAAAUUUGUAUCACCAAGGGAUGGUUCUGGAUUAAGGUUUUUAAAAGCCAAGAUAUCAGUCAUCUAGGUGGAUGAUUGAGAUUAAGAUGAACUAAGAUGUCGGUUUAUCACAAAUAAGAUGGAAAAUGUUAAAAAAAUGAAGAUAUCUGAGACUUCUGGAGAUCUUGGCCAAUACUGGCAACUUUAGCAACUAUUUUGAAAUCUAUUAAUUGAAAAACUUAUUUAAAGAAGUAAAAAUUUGUCUGAAAUAUAGAGGCCAAUAUGUUUAUACUGUACAAGCCAGCACCUCAGAAUUUUAUUCUAUUAACUGGGUUGUAGGGGCCAAGGUUUUGUAUUGGAGAGUUUCCAAUAUGUAUAUAGACCUAGAUUGCGGCCAAGACGAAAACAUUGUUCUGGAUUUUACUAAGCUAUUCAAUAUACCGAGCGACAUUGUUAAUCAUGUCUAAGAUAAUGAGGAUGCAGAGCAUGGGGUUUCUAUUUUAGUAGUCUUUACUUUUGUAUCAUUUCAUAGGAAGAUGGGCAGGGUAACCUUACUAGCUGCAAAUUUGGUAACAUCCACUAACACCUUCUCUUGUUUUUGGCAGGCUUCAUUAUAAUUUCAAUUCUAUAAUGGUGUUAAAAUUGAUGUAUUAGUUCGUAAGCAAAGUUUUUGCAUUGUUGAGAAAUAUGAGCAUAUAUGAACAGCAGUUCAGUUCAUAAGCUAAGUUUAUAACUUGAAGUUUGUUAUAGUUUUUCAUGAAAAAAAUAAUCCAUGGUUCGUUGGCCUCUUCAUACACAAGGAAUGAAUAAUAGUGCUGUGAAAUUCGGAAAGAUUUCUCGGACCAUAUUUUCAGUAUAUUCCCAAGUAAUUGUAGAGAACAUGCAUGUCUAGAUAUUGGUUUACUAGGAAACAGGUCUUGCCGUAUAUAAUACAAUUUAUGCUAACAAAAUUUACAAGAUAUUGAGAGGUAGUGAAGUACAUACUAGAUGCCCAAAAGGUGAAAAAUUGUGAGGUUUGAGCAAGCAGAUAGCAUGGGGAGAAGAAGCAUCACUAGUAGUGUAGAUUGGCAGUUGUCAAUAUAACUAAUUUAUAUCUAGAUUCCACGAAAAUAUUAUCUGAUCACUCAUAUGGACGCCUGACAUGGGGUUUGGAAAGGAUAUGCCAGACUGUUUGUUAAAAUGAAUUUGAAUAUUUUUGGUUAUUCGCUUCAGGAAGCGAAAUUGAGCUCUGUGGGAUGGUCUUGUGGGCACAUGAAGUUUGCCGCUUAUGGAAUUUAAGAAUGAUCUGACAGUUUUCAGUGGUCCAAUUUACAGGAAUAUUGAAAGAGAUGGAUGGAAGAAAAAGGCAAUGGGAGAUUGGCUUUUGUCUUAAGGAUGGGAAGCACUUAGUACAGUCUUGUGCAACUUUGGUUCGCAGGGUCUUCUGGAGUUAUGUUUGAACGUGUGUUAAAGUCCAGAGGCAUAAUACUUCUCAUAUACUUCUAUCCAUGGUUGGUGGCCAUGGAAGAGAUGUUGAUCAGUCGCUGUAGACAAAGUCAAUGAUUUGUCUUGCUGCUGGAUGUUUGAUUUAUCAUGGUUCUUUAUGUGUAGCUACUUUCUUAUGGAGCGUUUCCUCCAAAUGCUUGAUAUGAGAGUUGUCUGCUCUGAGACUCUGGGCCAGUUGGGUAUUGUUCUGGACUGCAAGGGAAUUUUGGGCUCUGCUUGCUGUUUUGGUCAUAUGAGCGUCCCUUGUUGAUUAAUAAAAAAAGGCUAUACAAAUUGAUUAGAUGAAGGCAUGACUCCUUACAUUCUUUGCUUCAUUUGCAGAAUGUGCACCAAGGAUAUACAAAUGAAACUUUGGUACGCUUUCUCAAGGCGAGAGAGGGGCAUGUUACUAAAGCUUAUAAAAUGGUAAGAUUGCAUUUCAGCUGCCUUUAUUUAUUUUCUUGUUUUAGAAACUAUAUGUCAUUUAUUUCUUUUACUUAAGAUGCUUAUAUCUGUUGCAGCUGGUGGAUUCUUUGAAUUGGAGGAUUCAAAAUGGGAUUGACAACAUUUUGUCUGUGAGUUUUUCUUAAUGUAAAAUCCUUUGUAGUUGACAUUAAUUUUUUUGUAUAAAUCAUCUCUUUGGCAUAUCUAAGCCUAACAUCUAUAAAAUAUUGAUUAAAUAAAGUUUUUUUUAAGGAGAGCUUUAUGUCCAUUCACAAUUUGCAAUAUUUGGCAGUUGUAAUAUUCUAAGCUUCAUUGCCUGUCAAUUCUACAAUUGAAAUGAACCAAUUAUGAUAUGCCAACCUGCAUGCUAGUUAUAGUUUCUCAUAGAUUCCAGAAUUAUUGUGAUGCAAAUGCAGGAGUUCACAUGCUCACCCAUGUCAUAUUCUACAACUAAAAAAAAUUCUCCAAUGGCUUUCAGUUAAUAUGAGGCUAGUUUUCCUUUGGGUAUCUAAUUGUCAAAUUUUUUGAUUAUGAGAAUCUCAUUUCUAAAUGGACCCUGUCUUAAUGCAGAAACCUAUAAUUCCAACAGAUUUAUAUAGAGCAGUACGUGAUUCACAGCUCAUAGGAUUGUCCGGAUACUCGAAGGAGGUAACACUAUCCAUUUUAUACUUAACACUGACUUUGUUCCUAUAUGUUUUUCCUGUUAUGAAAAUCAAAUCAUUAUUUUUUGCUACUUCGAUAGCCUUAUAUAUGCAAACCUCCAUAGGGUCAUGCUUCACAGUGAACUUUCUACUUGAGUUGAAAUUCAACAUGCACAUGGAAUGCCUAUGCUGUUUAUAGAGCUCUGGGAUUUGCAACUAUUUAUUAUUUUCUUGGGGGGUCGGGGGGGGAGUCAUAUUUUGGUACAUUUGCUCUUUCUUUGAUCAUGAUGAUGCACUCUAGAGUGGAACUCGUAAACUAUUUUGGAAAUUGGGUUCUUUAUAAAUCAUGCUUUCUGCUUGAUCCUCCCUCCGUACAACAUAAUUUAUAAAAUAUUCAUGCCAAACUGAAAUCGGUUUUUUUUCCUAAUAAGUCGAUGACAAAAUAAAUAGAUAUGUUUGGUUAAAAUUAGCUGAUCAUGCCUAUUCUGCUGGCAUCAUAUCUAUUUUCUAUAAACAGAUAUUAUAACAAAGUUUACCGUACCGGAUGGUACCGUACCAUGCCGGGCAUUCUGUACCGUGUUGGUAUUGAACUGGUAUGUAGUCUCAUACUGUACCGACAUUCAGUACAUCUUACUAUCUCGUACAGUGCCGCGUACCUAUAUUGUAAUAGGAUGAUACCAAUACAGGGUCUGGUACCGAGAUGGUGAACCUUGAAUCAUAAUAUUAAAAAAGUAAAAUAUAAUUUCACUAAAAUGUCUUUAGAAUUUUUAUAUACUUCUGCUUACUUUUUGACAGGGCCAUCCAGUCUUUGCAAUUGGUGUUGGACUCAGCACAUUUGAUAAAGCAUCUGUAAGCAUUAUAAUGUUUUGGUUUUGUUGUUCACUAGUUUCCUUAUGACUACAUAAUAUGAAGAAAACCAUGCUAGGUCAUGACAGAGAUGUCUCAAGCAAAUUGCUGUUCUUUAAUAUGCUGUAGUUUUGUCAUUGUUCUUGUGUCAUUGUUUUUAUUGACACAUUAUUUAUGCAUGGUUACUGACAUGGUUGCUGUACCAUUGCCUUGUUUGGUAUUAUUAGUAUGAAAGUACUGCAUGUAUGUAUGUAUGUUAAAUGAUGGGAAGGUACUCUUUUAGGUGUAUUGAUCUUGAGCUGUAUUUUUCUAUUGCACCUCCUAUUGUUACCAGUAUUGUUUCUUCUGCCAUACCUAGCCAACCGCAUUAUCAAGACUUUUGAGAUACUCUUAGUCCAAAUAUUCACUGUGCACAUACUUCAUAAGGUUAAUCAUCAUGGCAAAUGCUCUUGCCGGUUGCCCAAGGAAAUGCUUAUAUGAAUUGUUCUAUAUGGUUUUUUGUGCUAUGGUUUGUCAUUUAUUAUCCUUUGAACAUUUUGUUGCCAGUUACUAGUAGAAAGAUGGAAACAACAGCAGUAGAAAAUGGUUUUUUAUGCAUGAAAUGCUGCCUAUUUAGCAUUUUAUUUUUUUUAAUGUCAGAAAAUAUAAAACAAAUCUAUAUGAUGGAAUAGAAAUUUGCCAGGACUAUUAGGUGAAAAUAUAUAAGGAAAUGUCAUAUGUUAGAUGGUGAAGAUAAAUAUGCCAAUAAGAAAUGUAGAUUUAUUAUAUACCUUCCUAAAUUGAUUGCACCGUUCCAUUCUCCAUUCUUUAAGCCUCUUAUAUAUGCUUCUACAUGGCAGUGAAAAGGAGCUUCACUAUAAAUAAGAACUUCCUUCAUAAUCUGUUUUAUCAUUUGUUUUUUUUUCAUUGACAACAAAUUUGAUUAGAUAGAUAUGAGUGCCUUAAGAUUGAUGCAUGGUACCAUUAUGGGUAUUGGUGCCGGACACUGAUAUGGAGGGUCAGGCUAUCUGGACUACAAUCAAUAUAUGUAAGAUCUGACAACACAUCACUCCUUUUCUGGGCAUGAUAUGUGCGCUGAUAUGCAUGUCCUUUUAAUUUUUCAUCAAUAGCCAAAUUAAUUUAGGUGUUUUUCACCUGGGAGCCCCCACCCCCAAGCUUUCUCAAAGUCAAUUUUGAUGGGUCAGUGCUGGAUGGUGGCACGAUAGGUGGAGCGGGUUUUGUUAUUCGGGACCCGACCUCCAGGGUAGUGGCGGCGGGAGGCUGUCAGGUAUUUGACUGCACGGUUCUUGGAGCAGAACUGAGAGCUGCCUGGGCGGGUCUUCGACACGCUCAGCGUGUGCUCUCAGCUAGAUCAGUCAUCUCGGAGGGUGACUCGGUUACGGUCAUUAGUUGGAUCCAGGGGGGUCUGAGAGCCGGUGCUGCCGACCAUCCCUUGAUCCGCGAUAUCUGGUUGAUGACGAGGGACGAAGGGGUGGUCCAGGCGAAGCAUGUAUUUAGAGAAGCCAACGGAGCUGCGGAUUGGGUGGCCAGGUAUGUGGCUAACCAUGCCGGUAGUACCUUAUGGGCAGGGGACGGGGAGCUGCCCCGGGAGCUCCGGGAUGUUUUGUUUUCCGAUUUUAUUGGAUGUAUCCGUACACGUGUUGUAUAGAUCACCCGGUUUAGACAAAAAAAAAAAAGAAAAGAAAAAAAAGAAAAAAAAAGAAGAGAAAUCAUAAUUUCUACAAAACCUCUAUAACUAAUUCACCAAAAGCUAACCAAAAUUUUCCCCUUCAAAGAAGCAUCUGUCCAUGCAAUUACUACAAGCACUUGCUUUUGACUGGUCCAUGACAAGAGGGUUUGUAACUUUGUAUAAUCAUGGAUGAUAAAUUUAACUCCAUUCUUCACAUUGUACAUAGAUUUUGAAAAUUUUAAGAAAAUUAAAAGAAUUUGGGAGUUUGGCUAAAAGAAGUCAAGAAAAACUAAAGGUAUAAAAGGCUUUCUGGGGGUCUUUGAGAGACCUUUUUAGGGUAAAGAGGAGAAAAAAAGAGGCUUAUUGUAUAGAUUGAGAACACUGGAUGGUGGAUAGAACCAUUUAAUCUCAGAUUUGCUAGAUUUUUGCAUAACUGUUAUUUGGAAUUUAGAUUGUAGUCUUUAUUAUACUUUCGAAUUAUAAGUUAUUUAUGUAUUAGCUAAUUGAUAUAGCGUUAGUUUCCAUAUCAAGUUCACAAUCAUUUGUAGUUUUAUCUUUGUAUGAUUUACAUUUGUAGUUACAUACAUUAUUUGGUGUUUGAUCAUGAGAUUUUUUGUUGAACAGUUGAAUGUAAUAUAGUUCUUAAAAUAUUUUCAUUGGGUUUAAAGGAAAGAUGAAUGAUAAGACUACUAACACUGUAGGCUUGCCACCGGUUGUGGUAAUGGUUUCACUUGUUGGGAGAAGUUUCUUUGUCCAGGAAGGGAUCACAUUAGACAUUUACUGCAAAAAGUAAGAAUAGGGAGUUCUGCUGGCUUUCCUUGUUGACCCAGCUCCUUUUCUGGUGGAUCACGGCAUGAGCAUCUCUUUCACCGCCAUCAGCACAAGUCUUCUGAUGGGCAGUCUUGCUCUUGGCUUGAGCAGGAAGAUCAGAAAAGUUAACUAAUGAAACAAGUAUCAUAACUUUGAUUGUCAAGAGUUAAAGAUGCUUGAAUUUAUGCUAUAGGAAUUAAUGGAAACUUACAGAGGGAUUAUGAUCGCUGUUUUUUAUAACGAGUUAGACAUAACACUUGGCUCAAGUUGGAGGUAGGCAUCUCAAAAUGUGUCUGCCAAAAUAGUCAUCACAUUCACAUGGUGCAAAAUUAAAUAGAAAAUAAAUUAAAUAUCCUAUUUAUCAUCAGAGAACCUUGAACUCCCUGCAAGGUUUGUGAUUAAAUCAAGCCAUUCUCUUAAAUGAUCCAACAAAUAGAAGUUUGAUGAGAUCAGAGAUUUACUUAUUGAAGUGUUAGGACUCUAUGGAUGAACUAUAUUAUUAAAACCAAUUAACUUAAUCAGGAAUGGAUGCAUUUCAAUGGGAAGCAUCGGAAUAAAAGGAAUUUAUUAGUUACAAUGACAGAUGAUCAAUUUUGAAGAGGGAUGCCGGAAUGUGAUUUGUUAGACUUUGCUACUAUGCUACUAUCUUUGUCUCUUGGAUUUUCUGUUGUCAUGGAAACCAAGAAAACUCAGAGGUGGAGCUGUGGUCAUCUCCCUAAGCAUGCUGCAAGUCCUCGCUGUGUUUCAACUGGUAUUUCUAUCACUCUUUGUUAAACUAUUUACUGCAGUAGAGGCAUUGGAAAAAGAGGAAUAGACGAGCUUUUCACCUCUUUCUAUGAAAAGUUUUUUUAGAAAAAUAAAAAAGAAACAAGCAGUACUGCUAUGGCUCCCUGUGCAUAUUGGGCCCCAGACUGAAGUUGCCCUUCACUGGUCUAGAUAUUUACUCGAUUAGCACACAAGAGGGCCAAGAUGAUGGAAGAUGGAAGAUAGAGAAGGGAAAGAUAUGAAAGAGGCAAUUGAACUCUUCCUGACUUCCCAGCAAAUUAGAAACCUCUCCUAACUGGUGGAACUAGUUUCCACAAUGGGUGUCAGGCACUAUAGUGCGAGUAGACCUUUUUGGCCUACAUGCAUGUGUAGGCCUAGCACUUUUCUAAUAUAAAUUUAUGAUUUUUCAUAUUCUCAUACUUACUGAAUCCAUAAAUCCAGAGAUUACACAUGAGACAAUAUGUUCAUGUGUGUGAUAUAUGAUUCCUAGGCUUGUUCUAUUUUUCUCUUAUAUCUUUGUUUUUCUUUUCUAUUUUUUUGGCAGAAACUGUGAAACUCAAAACUUAACGGCCAAAAUUAAAGUUAUUAGGCCCAAUAGAAACUGAAACAAAGUUAUUGGGCAUUCUUUUGAAGUAUGCGGAACGUGUUCCACAAACGUUUAUAAACUUUUAACAUUUAUUACGAUUCCUUUGUCCAGUUUUUGGUUACUCUUCUAUUUUGUGUCAUUUAGGUCCACUACUAUGUGCAGUCACACAUUCAAAUUAAUGAGUACCGUGAUCGUGUAGUUUUGGUAAGUAGUCAUUUGCAUAGUCUCCAGACUUUAAGCGCUUGCAGUUUCUUUUUCUAAUUUAUUUGUUUGUGUUUUAGCCUGCUGCAACAAAGAAGUAUGGGCGGUAUAUUGGCACAUGCCUGAAAGUCUUAGAUAUGACUGGGCUAAAGCUUUCAGCAUUGAGCCAAAUAAAGGUAUGGCUCUGAAUUUUUCUAAUUUUUUAUUUAUAAAUGUGUUUUCCAAAAGAAAUUCUUUGACUUGUGUUAACUAUAAAUUUUCUCUAAUAACUAUUAUGAAAGUUCAAGUUCUAGAUGCUAACGAAAGUAUUAUCAUUUCAGCUGUUUCAUGAGUCAUGGACCUAGAAGUCCGGAAAUGUCAUUUUGAUCUCACAUGUGAUGUUGGAUAAUAUGUCUACAAUUGGUCUGUCUUUAAGGCCUAAGAGGGAAGGUCAAAGUUUUCACCUGGUGGGCCACUAAUAGCGAUAGACAUUCCCAGUGUCUCGAUAGCUCGUAGGCAGCUAGUUUUUGGACUCACAGGAGCCCUAUUGAGCUGCGCAAUCACGCUUUUAUUUGAUAGGAAAUGGUGGCAAGUAAAGAUUUGAAAUUCGGAUUAUAUUUCAGAUUCUGUUGAUAUUAGUUGAAUUGCAAAUCUCUCUGAGUUUCUACUCUGCAGAGACCCCAGCAUGAAUUAUGACAUAAACAAAUUGCCAUCCGUGUCCCACAACAUCUUCUCAACCAUGCAUUGAAAUUCUUCCUAGUUUUGCUGCUGAUAAAAUUUUUCUUAGGACUUUUUCUUAUCAUUUAUGUUUCAUUUACUGUUGGUGGAUUUAUAUGCUGCAUGUUAUUGUAAUUUUCUUUUAUUGAAAUUCCUAGUCAACAAGUUGCUCUCUAAAUUAUAAUAAUGCUCCAUGUAAAUCAUGUUGUUCAUGCUGAUACUGCUAAACUUAAUGUUUAAAUGUCCCUUCUUAUAUUGCAGUUAUUAACCAUCAUAUCUACUGUUGAUGACCUAAACUAUCCAGAGAAGACAGAGACUUAUUAUAUAGUCAAUGCUCCGUAUAUAUUUUCGGCUUGUUGGAAGGUAACUAUCCAUGCAUUUUGAAUUGAAAUUUCUGGAUGAAGUCUUCAUGCUUCUCUAAUUAUUUUAAUUUCCAUGCUUUUAUUUCUCUAUGGGUUGGUACAUCAGUAUAUUUAUUUGCAAUCUUCAGCAAAAGUUUAGUCUGUUUUCUAUUCCAAUUGUGUUUCUUCUUCUUCUCCUCCUCCUCCUUUUGCUUACCGGUCAGGUUGUCAAGCCUCUUUUGCAAGAAAGGACAAGAAGGAAAGUGCGAGUACUGCAAGGUUGUGGCAGAGAUGAGCUAUUGAAGGUAAGAAAUUUAAAUUAUCUGAUAUUAACUUUUCUCUUUUGUGUUUGACACUAUGUAACAAACAGAAUAUUUUGUGGGCAAAAAUCACAUGAUUGCUCAAAAACUGAAACCUGAUUAAUUGUGGUUUUCGCUACAUAAAAUGUUAUAAUUGUUAUCUUGACUCUUUGAUUGUCAACCACUAUACCAAAAGCUGAAAAUAUGGUACAGAUUAUCGGCAAUAAACAGUAAAUGAUAAUUUAAGAAGGAAUGAGUUAAAUAUAGCUUGGGUAUUGGAUUCCAGCAUUCAUGGACCAAUGUGCUCUGUUGAGUUUUUUCACAUGCAUCCUGGCUUGUGUCAAGGAUCUUGACAACUGUUGACCAUGUGGUAAACUACUUGUUGGAGGUUCUAAAGGGACAAACCAAACGGAUCUUGAACUUUUUUUUCUUGAGCAUUACUUUCCGUUCCAUGGUGAGAAUCCUGUCAGGUAGGCUUCAAGCUAUUUGGGUUAGUCAAAUUUACCAAACUUGUCGAGGUUCUAAAGGGACAAACCAAACAGAUCUUGUACUUUUUAUUUCUUGAGCAUCACUUUCUGUUCCAUGGUGAGAAUCCUGUCAGGGAGGCUUCAAGCUAUUUGGGUUAGUCAAGUUUACCAAACUUGUCGACUUGCUAAAAGCAGACUGCCAGCUUUUUGCAUGGGAUCACAUGUGUGUCAUAUUUCUGCUCAUUUCAUUUUGCUGUAUCAUCAUGUCAUAUUAUUUUAGAUCAUAAAUACUCAAACUUCCAUUAAUUGGCAUGUUGUAGAUAAUGGACUAUGCAUCCCUUCCCCAUUUCUGUAGAAGACAAGGUUCUGGUUCAUCUCGGUAUUCUUCUGCUGAGGCUGAUGACUGCCUCUCCUUUGACCAUCCGUUUCACCAACAGCUUUACAGCUACAUGAAGCAGCAAGCCUUAAACCAGGAAUUCAUUGUUCCUUUCAAACAAGGGUCCUUCCAUGUAGACGUGCCUGAACCAGACUCUGAGGGAACAAAGAUUGUUAAAACUUUAGAGUCUGAGCUCCACAAGAUCAGUGAUCAAAAUGGGCUUGCUCGCUCGAUGACCGACCUUAAAAUGGAGAGUGCAUGAAGGUGCACCUGCAGGGGACAGUAUUGAAAGUUAAAACUGCACUUUGCCUUUGCUAAUGCCUCAACCAGUUGCAACGGAUUGUGCAGUAGAUCAGUAUGUGCUCUUCCACUAUUUUGGCUCCAGACACAACUGGCGAUAUAAUGUGAAGUGGGUGCACUCUCUCAGUGCAAGCUUUAUAGUGAGGGUUGAAGACAGCAAUGAAGGUCUCUUUCUAAGUAGAAUAGAAACGUGCAAGUAAUAGUGCAACUUAAUCUGAAAAUAUACGAAAAUUUUCGGUAGGCUAAGUACUUAAAUCUGUAAGUUAAAUAUUACUAGAAGCAUCGAGUAUUUUGCAUAUUGAAGUAUAUGCUGUAUGUAGGAACUAUAAUUUUCAGGGCAUAAUAAAAUGAAAUUUUCUGGUAACACGUGGGAUGGGGAUACUCUUUUUUUUUUUCAUUUCUUCCAUGGUUUAUUGCUCUUAAUUUGUAUGGUUGAAAUAUUAAAAAAAUGUUUUUUCUCUCUCUUUUGUCUAGGCUUAGUGAGAGAUUCCUCUUGAACUUGCUUCUGUUGUGAUAUCUCAUUUGAGGUGGUCGAAUAGUAUCUUUUACGUCUCUAGUAAGAUAUUUAGAUACUUACAGUACUGCACUAAUAUCGACAUGUCUAAGAAAUACAAUGUUUCAGAGAGGUCCAUUUCUGCAAGAAGGCAAAAACUCUUGCUCAUGGUGUACGAGUUUGUAGAAGCGUUUUAGGGGUUUCACGUUCACCCCUCAUUCAUCUUGCACUUGUCUCUCUGUUCCCUAUCAUUUUUGCCAGGCAUAUGAGCACUGUAAUAUCUCCAUUAGAGCACAGUUCAAUCAGCCAAACUACCUCUGUCGAAUCAAAAAGCACAUUCAUUAAAUGCUACGCCUUCUAAACUGCCACUUUUCAACUGUGAGUUGGAACAAGGGCUGAUGUCAUUCAGAAUCUAAUCCCAGAAAGAUAAUGCCAUCCAAGUGCUCGAUAAUAUAAGCAGGCACAACUUAAAAAUAAUAAAAUACACUCGUUUUGACACACGUGCUGCCCCCCGUUUUCCCAUCAGAACAAAAACUGGUUUUUUUGGUAGAGGAACAGAGAAAAAAAAUCUUCCUAGAAUGGAGGUUGGAGCUCAUAAAUUUGCAUCCUAGUAAUGUAUGUCGACCAAAGGCAACUUCAUCUGCCACCCUCGCAUUGCGUUGGCAUGCGAAGAUGCCCGCAAGGAGAUUUGGCUUUAAUGAAGGUCUUCUAUCAAAUUCUCCAGAUUCCUUUCUUGAAUAAAAUGCCAUAAUUAAUGGCUAAGGAGCCCGGAGAAACUUCUCCUUGGCCAUUGUAGUUUUGUUGAAUCAUGGAAGGCUAUAGCCAUAGCAACCUUCACCAGUGCAGUGAUCGGGUACAUUUGCUUCAUCCUCCUUUGCUUCCAACCACCCUCAGCCACCAGGCACCAGCCCCAUCGGCAGCCUGUUGAGGCUAUAGAAGAUCUCGGUCGCAGACGUGUUUGAAUCUAUGAAAGCUCCUGCCACCUCAGUUUUCCCAGAAAAUUCUGCAAAAUAUAAAGUUGAUCUUGAUGGUCACUGCAGUAGAUCACAGCAUUAGACCCAUUUCAUGCACAUAUCAUGUCAUAUUCUUCCUUCAAAUUUAAUUUUUGCCGUUGUGAGAAGUGAAGAGGAGUUAACUCAAUAGCAGAUUACUCGGUUGGUUUGAAUUGAUUUUGCUGUUGAUUUACAGUUUCCUCCACAUCUUCAAUGUCUGCUGACUCUGGAUGCUGCUGGUUUUUCCUGUUUGCAUUGUACUUCGUUCAGUAAUUUUUUUUCCCACUUUACUCCGCCCCCAAAAAAAGAGGAGUUACGCACCCCCUGGGCGGCAGGACCUUCAUUAGAUUAAGUAAAUAAAAUAAAUUUAAUUUAAUUUAUGUGAAACAGAGAAUAACACAUGCAGAUGCGGGGUGGGGGGAAGCAAAAGUAAGAAAGGAAGAAAAUAAAUUACCUCCAAAGAUGAUCUAAUCAUGCCUUUCCAAUUGUGAAAAAACAUAAAUUACCUCCAAAGAUUGUCUACAAUCAUGUGAAAAAAAAAUACGACUAAAGAUGGCUUAUAAUCAUGCCUUAACCAAUGUGAAGAAAAAUAAAUUACCUCCAAAGAUGGCCUACAAUCAUGCUCUUCCUAAUGGGAACAAAAUAUAACCUCCAAAGAUGGUCUGCAGCCCUGCCUCUCCCAAUUUGCUGAGAUAUGUCAAAAAAAAAUAUCAACUCAUGCAAUAACGUAGCAUGACUAUCUUCUAUUCGUCAGGGGAAAGGAAUCCACAGAGAAAUCCAACAAUAAGAAAUUGUAUAGCUCACUAAGGUGACAUGAUUAAUUGCUUGCAACUUAAUUACACCAUAAAAUUUUCAUCCUUAUAAAUGACCCAAGUAGACGCAUUUAUCUUUUUAAAAACAGAUGUCUGUUUUAAAGGUGACAAGUUUUUGAUAGUCGCACCAAAUAACUUGGAUUAAAUACUCGUACUGUGCAACAUGAGAGAGAGAGAGAGAAAGACAGAGAGAAAGCAGCCAAUCUGGAUGUCUCGAUUCAAAAAACAGCAUUCAUUCGUGGUUACCAACAUCCAUGUCCAGGAUUUUUUCAGACUAUAUUGUCCAUCCCUUGCAUGUAUAUUAGGGUAAUAUUAACAUCUUUCAAACCUACAACAUUUCAAAACUAGGUCUGAAGCAUCAUGUUUCUUAUUCCAUCACGUGUAUCCUGAUGUUUUGUUUUCCCAUGGAACAGCUAUAAUACAUUUUGAUGACAUGAUAGCCCACUAUCAUGAGGACUGCUGAUACCUAAGCCAGCACAAGUCAUAGUUAGAAAAGAACUGAAUUUUAUCUCAGCUGCCUAUAGCAGCUAUAAGCAACAGCAACGGAGGCAAUGGCUGCAACCACCGCGAGAGCUGCAUAGGUGUCCUCUCGUUCCCAGCUCUCAAACCAGGUGGGCAUUGCACAGAUUUUACGAGUGCACGAGGCUGCUUUGUUGCUACUGGUCUUGGUUUCCAUCUUACUCUUCUCCUGCUCGACCUCCUGAGUCUUCUGUUCGCCAAUCUGAUCAUUUUCUGGUUUUUCCAUCGGUGGCGUGUUCUGGCAACAAGAGAUGUUGCCAGUGCCCUGGCAGCAUCCACCUGCUCCAGCUAUUGUGCCAUUUACAACACCAUCAGUUCCUGCAGUUUCGAUGAAUUCCUUUGCAGUAUUUUGCUCCAUUCCACUGUUUGGCUGAAGUCUAAGGUUCUGAGCAUUUUUCUGGUCCUCCUCAGAUAAUCCCAUUUGCCCCCUGAUUCGAAAUUUCAACCAGAUUAGAUGCAUCAUGCAAGUAUUUUCCUUUCUUUUUUUCCCUAAUAAAGAAAGGUGGCAAAGGUAGCCAGCUUAUGACAAGUAAAUGUUGUUCUCGAAGAUUGAAUUAUGAUAAGUACCUAAUAAACAUUGGUCUUGGUGUUCUUAAUGCAUCAGAAUACGAUGCGCUAAGAUAUCAUUUGUAUAUUUCUUCAGAAGUUAUGUUGUAUCUAAACUCCAAAACAAACAAUAACUCAUCUAAGAGGAACAAGAGGAAAAGAAAGGCUCAAAUAAGGAAAAGGAACUACCUCCACAGAUGGUCUACAAUCUUGCCUUUCCGAAUGUGCUGUUCAAGCAAUGUAGGCACAUCAUCUGGAGAGACAUAUCCAUACCUUACAAAAACAAGAAUAGAAAACCAAUCAUUACCUUGUGCAAUGAAGCAGUGAAACUAUGUAAUCCUCAAUAAAGAAUUUUUCUCAGAGAAGUCCAUAACGGGAAAAACAAGCAAUAUAUAGCUUAUUAUGCUGACAUGAAAACUAGUAAUUCAAAUGCAGAAUUUCCCUCCUUACCAAUGACCAGUAAGUUCUCCAUUGAUAUUGGGACUAAAUAUAAUGACAUUUCCUGCAUACUUAUGACCACCCACAUGUGAGCAGGGCCUGACAGACACUUGUCUUUGUAGACCAUAAAGGGUUAUCUCUUCUUUGAAUUUUUUAACAAGAGCAGGGCCACAAACACCGCAUCUCCGAUCUCGGCUUUGAUGAGCACAUAUAAAAACAAAUGAACCAGUCAGUGGUUCAGCUGCUCCUGGGAGCCACUCAUUGUCUUUCACAAGCACUUCUUCAACAAAAGUAUCAACAUCAAAGUGUGUCAAUUUCCUGAUACAAAUAACAGCACUCAGUGUCAUUAAAUUUAAAUUUAAACCAUAUAAGGAUAAAAUCUAGCAAUUUGUUCAACAAACUCAAUGAAAACAAAACCUGUAUCUAAUCAUGUCUGGAAAGAUCAGAACAUCUCCAUUGGAAGAAUCAGUACCAUCUUCUCCUUCGCAUAUGGUCAAACGAGUCUGCAAGAAAAAUGUCAAGGCACUAACAUCACUUGCUUAAUCUUUUAUCUAAUUUAUCAGGAAUAGCAGCCAUCUUCCAUGGCCUAGAUUGAAUUCAAUUUACAAGAGCAAUGUGUGAGCGAGUGAGUGAGAGAGAGAUGUUUUAAUUUAUAAAAUUGAAAUUAAUGAACUACUAAAAAUUUAAAUUUAUCAUUCACAAAGUAUCAGCAAAGUCAUCCUGGACUUACAUCAGAGGAUGCAUGGAUAAUAUAAUGCUCCAUAAAGAAUGGCUAGCCAACUUUUUGGCAGUAAUAAUUUCAUGGAUGUACCCUUCUUUUUGAAAAGUAUCAUUGAGAAAGGACAAAGCUUCACCGCACCACUCCCUUCACCGUACCAUUGAGAAAGAACUGGUACACGGCCCACCUAUCACCCAUGUGACCUCCAUGUACCACACCAAUCUCUGACUGCCACAAGGGACUGAUGCCCUGUGGGGAAGGAAGUGGUGCUGGGAAACAGCAGUUAUUGAAAAAUAAGAACUAAGUGUUAAAGACAUCUGCCAUAAAGUAGCUUCUGUGAUACACUCCAGUGACGCCAUUGAAACCAAUAGAUCACCAGGCACUGUUCAAAGAUUUUACAGUGAGAGAACUAUGAAGAUGGUUCUGGCAUGAGGCAUGAAGAUCCAAGAAGGCUGGAGUAAGAGGAGGGAAAUUGUGAUUUGUUUGCAGGUAAGGUCAGGAAAGAGGGAUGGAACCCAUAAAAAGAAGAUAUCCAAAAGCUUGACUAAAAAAAAGACAGUUCUUGGAAGAAUGGACAAAAGGUACUAUUACUCCUGGCUCCUAAUGAAUGACUUAACAUUGUUAGUUACAUCUUUUGAUAUGAAUAGGAUUAUGAAGCUGCAAUUCUGAAAUAUAGCUUCCAUGAUGAUUUCUUACCUUCAUCCAACUUAAGACAUCAGAACAAUAUCUUCCAAUUUCAUCAUUAAAAAGUUCUGCGUACAACAUUGAUAUGAAUUUCAGUAUCACAGCUUCCACCUUUAUCAUAGAAUCAUUCUCCCCCAUCAAUGACUAGGAAGAAAAGUGAAUAUUAUUUUUCUAAUAUAUAAAAGUGAAUAUUAUUUUUCUAAUACAUAAAGUGUUUCCAAAUUUUACAGAUGACACCAGGGAAGAGAGUGCAUGGCAUACAUCUUGAUCCAUGUUGACAAAGGCAGAGACCUCAGCGUUAAGCUGUCCAGGCACUUAACACAUAAUCCUUGGUCGGAACAAGUCGCCUCCUCAAAUGCCAGCAUGGUUAAUCUAAGAUGAUCCGAUAGAUGAUUAAUUAAGCCAAGCUGAGUUUUAGUUAUAUGCAAGUUACAUAUAAUUAAGCCAAAGUUAAAGCAGUUGAUUACAGUGGUCCAUAGAGCAGUGUUAGCAUUUUCUUCGUAACAUUGAGCCCAAAAUUAAUGAUGGAACAACCAAACAGAAGAUUCACAAUGUUCAUCAUGACUUACAAAUUUGGAAACCUAGGAACAAAAGGAAUAAGUUUUUGAGAUAUCUUACUUAUACAACAAGUAUACUCAAAAUGGAUAGUUUCAAUAGUGUUAUUGAACAGAAUGUAUUCUAGGAUGUCCGCAUGUUACCCCCACAGUUAAUCAUGAUUAAAACAUCUAAACUAGUAUUGAAGCGGCAGCUGUAGAUGUAGGCUAUUAGAGGAUGGCACAACACUUCGGUAGAAGAUAGGACUUAGGUGGUUUGUGCAAGGGAUUGUAUUAAAAAAAUAAUAAAAAUAACUUAGGAUUCACAAAUAUAUAAACACAAUUAUAAAAUUAGAAAUCGAAUGGAAGAAACCAAAUGAAAUAGAAGAUAAUACCAUGAAACACUUCUAGAUUUACUAUUAAACAAUUUAGUAUCACAUGACAUAAAAAUAAUAGGCUUAUAAGUGUUUUCCAUAAAUAAAAGUUUAAAUUAACUAUUUAAAGAACAUGAUUAAUAGUCUAAGUAAGGUUUUAAAUCCCGUUGGACGGGGGUGUCCCGGUUUCUCCAUAGGUGUCCUGCCCCGUCUCGACGGUGGUCCCGGUCAUACAUCCUCGUAGAUAUCCUCCAUCUCUCUCCUCCUCUUCUUUCCUUUCUUUUCCUCUUUUUUUAUUUCUUUUUCUUCUUUAUUUCUUUCCUUCCUUUCUUUCUUUUUCUUCUACCUUCCUUUCCUUCCUUUUAUUUUUCUUUCGUUUUCUUAUCCCUUCCAUUAUUUCCUUUCUUUUUUUCUCCCUUCCUUUCUUUCUUUCCUUUUUCUUCAUCUUCUUUCUUUUCACCUUUUCCUUUUGUUCAUCUUUCCUUCCUGUCUUUCUUUCCUCUUUCUUCUUCUCUCCCUGCACCAAUGGGUUUCGGUGUCCCGACCUCGUCCCAAUUCCAUUUUCUCACACGAACGGGAUGGAUGGCUAGGACUCCCCCAUCCCACCGGAACUUAAAACCUUGAGUCCAAGUUAAUGCAAAACAAAACUCUAUUAAAUAAUGAAUAAUCAAUACAAAGUUGAAACUAUACAAUUAACUUAAAACUAGUCCAAUCUGGAGAGAAAGAUGGUGGGGGUCAUAAUCUAUUUGUAUAUAGGGGCUGCCAAGGUGGUCAGAUCUUAAGCAAGGAAGCCUGCAUAUGACCUAAGCUUGGGAAAUUGCCUAGUAGAACAACAUUCAGUCAUAGACCUCCAAAUAUAAAAUUGUCAAUCAAUACAAAUUUUUAAUGUUAUAGUCUUUCUUAUAAAUAUUGAUGCAUCAGUUUAGAUGGUUAUCAUUGAUUUUCCAUGGAUAGGGAAAUUUGAGACACACAGUUAUGUGCACACACAUCCAUACAACAUAAACACAUAUAUGUAUGAAGAUAGAGUGCAAUAAUAUCUAAAAAAAUAACAAAGGGGGUAAUUUCUUCCACCUCUAAUGCAUAAAAGAGCAUAAUAUAUCAAUAAAUAUGCAGAAAAACUUUUCUACAUAAAUAAUUUAUCUCAUCCUCCAAUACCAUGUCCCCCCCCUCCCCCCCCCCCCCAACCCAAAAAAAAAAAAAACCCAACCCGAGAGAGUGAGAGAGAGAGAACGAGCAAGGAUUUGAGUAUCAUGUAUUGUAAUUGUUACAGUCACCAGCUCUCAUAGUAUAGCAUUCAUACCAUACCACCGUACCAAGCUGGUUGCAUGCCAAGAAAAGGGGGAUUGUGAUGAAAAGCAUCCAUUAUGUAAUGGUACAAUACCUUCAUCCCAUGCCCCUUUUCUGCUGAGAAGUAUGUACGAGUAAUCAUACCAGCAAGUAGCAGCCAUACAAUAAUAGGGAGAGAACCUAAUGAAGUGCAAAUCUAGGAAUGCCAUGAGCAAAGACCAAAUAAAGAACUACUCAUUUAUCAAAGGUAUCACAUAAGAUUGUUGAAAAAGUAUCACAAAGAAAAUCCAGACAGCGUUAGCUGGCAACUAGAUAGCAUCACAAGGCACUUCGAUUAAAGCAUGGAUCUUUAAGAUAAUAGGAUAAUUUUCGCUUAGUCCUAUAAAUUAUUUCUGAAGAAGGGGAGAAAGCAUAGAGGACAGAACAAACAGUUAACUAUAAUGAAUCCAUAUAUGAGAAAGAGAAUUGAAACAUCAAGAUAGCAAAAGACUUCCAACAGAAGCUUCAGCAAAAGAUGGUGAAGCAAAGUUUUAGUAUAGAAUGAAGAUCACACGAAAGUGACAUCAACAGUCUUAUCAACCACAUAAUCAGAAUGGAAGCAACAAGCCAACAUAAAUGAUCUAACUCUAUUUUCCUGAACGUGUCCAAUACGUAAAUAGUGGCACUAAAGAUAUUCUUGCAAAAGCCUAUGCAUCAUUUUUUUUGACUUUUCUAGGUCCUGCUACGUCCAGUACCACCACUAGCCUAAGAAAUUAGGUUGCAAAAGCCACUCUAUACAACAAACACACUUUAUAAGCUUAAAAUCUAUGAAAGCUCUCAAAUGCAGAUCACUUCCUUGUCUCAUUUAAGAGACAAUGCAUCAUAAACCAUGGCCUGCUAUGCAAGCCCAAUUACAUUGUAAGUACCAACAAAUAUAAAGUUAAAUGCAAAUAUUUUCACAAAGGUAACUAUUCUAUUAAAAGAAACAUUUCAUUUGAACUAAAAAGACUACCUAGUAACUGGAUCACAGCAUACUUCUAAAGCCCAAAGAACUUAAACAUCAAGAAAACACAAAGUAAUAAAUUUGGAUGAAGCUAAAAAAAAUAAAUCUAAUUAUUUAUAGCCAAACUCGAGUUAAAAAAACACCAUGACGGAGCAUGGUAACGAUAGACUAUGGUACAACAAGUAGAAAGGCAUAGAAGGUCUAGCAGGACAUGGUAACUAUAGAUCAUGGUCACAAAUUUGUUAAACGGGUGCAGCAAAUGAGCUCUGAUGUUUAAAAAUUUAAAAGACCAUAUGUUUAUUUAAUUCAUCUUGCCGAUAUUGAAUAUAUCAGGGCAAAAUCCUUAUUAGAAGCACCAAUGUAACAGCACAAGGUAAUGAAAACCAAACUUAAACUCUGAGCAUGGAACUAUAGGUACAUAAUUUUGACCAGCAAGACAAGUAUAUCACUGAGCCGUUUACAUAAGAAAUGGCAUCUUAUAUUCUACCAUAUGCCUGACUCAUUUUUAUGGAGUACUUGAUAUCUCUAAGUCAACCAAACCUAAUGCAUGGGAAAGAAAGAUUUCUUGUCUAAGUUGAUAACAAAGAAAAAAAUGGAGACAUUUAAAUUUGUAAGGAUGCCAAAGCUUGGUCGUAUGUACAAAUGGGAAAUGCCUCCACCUAGGCUGUUAUAUGGUUCAUGGAUGAGCAGUUAGCAGUUCAAGACAUGGUGGUAGUUAAGCAAAUAUGGGUACUCCUCAAAGUUCUGGGCUGUAAACAAAUGAGGCAAGGAUACAUGGUCAAUGGACGUGUUGAAAAUGUCAAGAUCCCGUAGAUGAGAUAUGCCACUCUGAAUUGGUAGACAGGUUAAUGACUCUGAAGAGACCAUGAGGACUUCUAUUAGAAAAUCAUAUAUCAUAAUAUGAAUAACCUUGUUAACACUGACUUCUAAAGUGUAAACAGGACUCCAGAUUUCCUGGCCUUAUAAAAGCAUUAAAAUUAAUCUUGCUUUCCAAAGACAACUCCCGUUGAUACUAGGCAAAUUAUAGUAGCAACAUUAACAUUUUUGUUACGCUCCAUGCAUAUGCUUCUCCAUGUAUUAAAACAUUAACAAUAUCCAAAAUAUAGCAGGACGAAGAAACAAAGGAAUCAUGCAGAGAGCAUGUGCAUCACAAAAAAGAUAACAACUCAAAGAAUCAUGCAUAUGAGCACAAACAUUUUUAAAUGAAUGAUCAAUCUUCGAAACUGUUAAAAAUUAAUAAACUCAUCAUAGUAGACUUGGACUGCUACCUUAGGAAUCCAAAUCCGUUAUUAGAAGAAAUACAAUUUCUAGAAUCAUAUUUAUCCUCACAACAUCUCAUCAAACAUACUAGUGAUCAAGGAAUUUAUUCCCAGAUUGGUAAAAGAGCAACAAGCAAAAUAUACCUCCAACGUCACCUGCAGUCGUAAAGCAAAACAGCAAUAACUAUAAAUAGAGAGCUGGCCAAUUAUAAAAGUAAACGGUUCCAAAUUGCCACAAGACAGGCAUGAUCAAAUCGAUUACUUUCUUCACUCGCUAAUAAAAGCAAAUCCCAAUAUAAAAAGAACGCCGAUACUCCAGUAGGAGAAAACCCAUAAAAAAAAUCGCUUCAAAACUUCAAACUUCAUCCAAGAAUCGAAUUCCAGUAAUAAUCGCCAGAGCUCAAAUCCUAAAUCCUCCUGCACCCCCUCCGGAAAUACCAAAAUUACCGAUAUCAAGAUGAACAACCAGAAACAAUCCCAAGAUUAACAAAAUAUAUUCGAUAUAGGGAAUUAAAACCAACCCUAGAUUAUGAUUUGAGAAGAGCCGCGAACGGAAAAGAACCCACCCGCUUCUUCAUGUCUUCCUUCCGGGCCUUGAGGGCGGCGAAGAGGAGGCGAGGGAGCCGGUCAGACUCCGCCGCCUCGACGUGAGACGGCCAGACGUUCGGCGACUUGUAACAAAGGAACACGUGGCGGUCGUAGAUCUGUACGGUUCCCGCCAGCGCCUCCUGCCCGAACUCCGGCCGCUGGAACCCAAACUCCGCCUCGCCGCCGCUGCCUCCGUCCACCUCCGGGACGCCGCCGGCCGUCCCGGCGAGUAGGCCCUCGCCCUGGAAGCUCCCGGCGGCACUUCCAGUCUGGGAAUUGGGGUCCGGCAGCAGGGAGGAGUCGCCGCCGGUGAAGGAGGCGAUUCCGGAGAAGGCGACGGGGGAGGAGCGAGCCGGGGAUGCCAUGGAGGCGAGAGGAGGGAUAGAAGUAGAAGAGAGAGAGAGAGAGAGAGAGAGAGUAGUUAGGANNNNNNNNNNNNNNNNNNNNAGAAGAGAGAGAGAGAGAGAGAGAGAGAGAGAGUUUUGAAGGGCAAAGACAAGAAGAGCGCAGGGCGUUGCCACGGGAAGCAAGGUGGCGUAACGGGAAUAGGGACGGCGUCAUUUUAGAUAAAGAUCUUGGGAGAGUUGACCGACUGUAGCAAUCGCGUAUCCUGAAAUGCGCCUUCCGGGAUUUUAGCGCCGGUCAAACUAGGUUGGACAUGGAACUGGGAUAAUAAUUUUUCAAGAAAUACUGAGAAUAUUUUUUUUAAAAGUAAUUAUUUAUAUUUUUUAUUAGAAGUGUUGAAGAAGCAUUUACGAUCAAGUAAAUGGCUCUACGAGGAUUCGGAAAGAAAAAUAAUUGUACAAGUUAUUUAUUUAAAAUAUUUAAAUAUAAAUUAUGUUAGAUAUUUAUGGCUCAAUCUAUGAAAUAGUUUUUCUCUCUUAAAAACAUAUAUUUUUUACCGAUGCAUAAAAAAAUUAUUUUGUUAUGAACGAACAAGAUAUUAAAAAUUGUCCAUAUAAUAUAAAUCUUUUUUAUAUAAAAAAGAAUCUUUUGUUAUUAUAGAACCAAAAGUGAUCUAAUAUUUCAAAAAUAAAAUUUGAUUUGCUUUACGAAAACACAACAACAAAAAAUUCACAAAACUGAAGAGGAUAGGAAACAUAAUUUCUACGUUGUUUGCAUUAUAUAUGCACAAAGCUAUUUUUAUUUGAUAGUUGUUUGCAUGGUAGAAUACAAGAUGUACGAUAUAUAAAAAUGUUCCUAUUUGAUAUCUAUCUGUUGACAACGAUCUUCGAGCAUUGUAUAGUAUUCUGCGAUGCAUAUCAUACAUCAUAGAAGAUUCAUACUCGUACAUAAAAUAUAGUGACAGCCAAAACAAUUCCAAACUUAUGGAGGACAAAUUUUCAUAACAAAAUCAAUUUUGCGAUGCCAUACUUUAUAUUCAAACAAUAACAAUCCUUUAUAUAUGUUUAUACUCCCAUGAAGUCCCUUAAAAAAAGCGUGUACCAUAAUUAAACAUGACAUGGUAAGACCAAGGAUCUGAUCAUUUGAUUACAAGAAUCCGAGUCCAUCGAUGGCAUUGAUAUCACUCUAUCAUCAAAUUACUAUUACUAUUUUUUUUGAAUUUUAUGUACUUUUAAUAAUCCUUAUCAGAGAGUCAUGAAUGAAGUUAUUCAUCGCAUCAAUGAUUAACAGAGGGGAGGGUAAAUCUCUCCCCUCUGUUUCUUUUUUAUUCUAUUUGUGUCUUGAAUUUCUCUUCUUUACUCUCCGUACCUCUCGAUUCAAACACUCUAAAUAGAAGAAGGAGGAAGCUAUAUAAGAUGUCGCAGGAGGAAGCUUUAGCCCCGACCGAACCUUUAGCAAUAAGAAAAAAUUGUAUGUCUCCUUCCGCCGCCUUGACCUCCUUUCGUUUUCCAUGCCCUGGAUUUCCGUUUCCCCUUGCCCUCCACCCUCGGCGGCCGCCGCCCGAAUCGCUAGCCGGAGGACCGCCGAACUAUUCCCAACCCGCUGCCGCCCGCCACCCCCCAUCACUCCCUCCACCGCGAACUCCUAUCCGGAAUCCUCCUCCUCCGACACCAAGCUCUCCACCUUCUGCGCCGCCGUCGCCGAGUUCUCCAAACGCCCCCAAGGUCUCCUCCCCCCUCCUGGCGUCGGACCCCGUCGCUCCCUCCCCGCCUCCUACAACGUCUUGAUGAAGUACUUCUCCCGCUGCGGCGACGCCGACGAGGUCCUCCGCGUCUUCCGCGAGCUCCAGCUCUUCCGCCCGACUCGCAACGCUCUCUGCUACAACACCCUCAUCAACUCCCUCGUCGUCGCCAACCGCCACGCCGAGGCCGAGGCCGCCUUCGAGGAGAUGGUCUCGUCCGGAAUCGCCCCGACCACUUCCUCCUAUACAAUUCUCAUAAAGUCGCGAACUUUACACCCCUCUCUCAUCGAUUCAGCUUAUGAUAUCAUCCAAUCCAUGGUUCGAUCCGGCCGACACCCCGACAGAGUCACCUACUUGACCCUGAUCGCCGGCCUCUGCCGCGCCGGGAGGAUUGAGGAAGCGUGGGGUGUUUUGGAUCAGAUGCUUGAAGCAAGGUUGCUGCCGACUGUUGAAGCGUAUACUUGUAUCGUUCAUGGGUAUUGCUCGGCGGGAAGGAUCGAAGAAGCCAAGAGGUUGAUGGGCACUAUGGAAACCCUUGGCUGUCGGCCGGACGUGGUGACUUACAGCGUGUUGGUCGAGGCCCUAUGCAGAACUGCCGAAUUCGAUGAGGUGGAGAAGAUCUUGAGGGAGAGUGCGUCCAUGGGCUGGAAACCAAAUGCAAUCACCUACAAUAUCUAUAUGAAUGGGCUUUGUAAAGUGGGCAAGGUUGAUGAAGCAUUCCAACUGUUCGAAGUUAUGCGGCAGAGUGGGUUGUGCCCAGAUGCAAUCACUUUGAACAUCCUUUUUGAUUGCCUUUGUCGGGACUCCAAGGUUUGGGAGGCCAAGAGCUUGUUGGAGAGGAAUGCUGAAUUGGAAUGGGAUGUCGACAACUUCUUCUACAACACUUUGAUGAGUAGGCUGUGUGAGAUCGGUGAAUGGAUCAGUGUUCUAAAGCUCUUGAUCGAUAUGGUGAAGAAGGGGGUCGGACCGGAUGCUUGUACAUUUACCAUCGUGAUUCGAAGCCUUUGCAGAGCUGGGAAGCUUCGUAAAGCGAAAUGCAUUAUGAGCAGUAGGGGAUUUGCUGCUGAUGUUGUGGCUUAUAACACUUUGCUUCAUGGGUUUUACAUGGCAGGAGAAUUCAGUGAAGUCCAGCGUCUUUAUGCGAACAUGGUAGUGGAGGAUAUUGUUCCCAAUAAGUUCACGUAUAGUAUCAUGAUUGAUAGUUUUUGCCAAGAAGGAAAAUUUUUGGAAGCUAUUGAUUUUCUUCUUGGAUCCCUCAAAGAUGGGUUCUUAUCUGUUCUGGUUGUUCGUCUAAAUAAUUGGUUGAUUAAGGGAGGGAAGCUGAGAGAGAUACUAAAACUGCUCGAAGAAAUUACAGAACGAGGAUCGGUUCCAGACGUGUGUAUAUUCAAUGCGCUGAUAAGUGCAUUUUGCAGGGAGGGAUACUGUCAGAGUGUAGACGUAUAUAAAGUUUGUCUCAUUCUUGACAAAAUGCUUGGAGUCAAAUAAGUUAUCUCAAGAUGAUGCAAUUCGUCUGAUCAAUGGUCUGAAUCUUUCUGGAGAGCAUGGGCUUAAGUAAGGUAAUGUUUCCUCUGUGUGUGUGUGUGUGUGUGUGUGUUUUGUGCUACAUGUUCAUGAUAUGAAUGUUCAAACAAUGCUGGGCUUAAUGUACGUAGUUGCAGUGUUAUUUCCAUUCUGAAUUGUUCGACUUUCGCUUGCAGGUAAGUUCAUCCAACAAUUUAAAGUUAAAAUGAGUGUCAAAUACUUUGCGAAAAAAAUUCUUGUUGAGGACAAACAAGUAAUGUUGAAAUGAGCUCACAGUCUAUUUCAUUUGUUCCUUUUAUAUAUAUAUAUUUUAAAGAUAUAUCUUUCUUUUGAAAUUUGAGAUGAAUGGUACUUGUUUUCUGAUAUAGACAUGGGUUGUAGCAGGAAAGGAAGGGUUUCAUAUUCUUGGCGUCAAAUUCUACAGGGGAACGCAUGGCUGGUUAUUGGAAUCCAGCACCAAUGUUUUUGGGUCAUUUGACAAUAGACACUCUUGAAAACGGGCACAGGAGUUUCUUCACCAGGUUUUUAAUGCCUGAGUACCGUUUUUUUUUUUUUUUUGCUUCUUUUCAGAAAUAACAAUUUUGCAUCUACUUUUUUCUAUUGUCCCUUAUAUCCUUGGAAUUAAUUUAACGGAGAGACUUAUCCAAAAAAAAAAAAAGUUUUACGGUUUCAUCAUUUUAUCUUCUCCUGUAGAAUUUUACAAAGUAAAGUAUGUAAUAGUAUACAUUCUCAAGAGGUUCUUCUGAUGAUAUACAAUAUAUUCAAAUAAACUAGUCUUUUUCUACCUGGUUUCCCGUAACUAUGUGUAGCAAAUGAUUACAGUCUGAUGCAACCUUUGAAUCUUCGAAGUCUUUUUCAUUUUCUUGUUUUAGAAAUCCUGCCUGAAUUUCUGAAAUCUUGUUGCCCAACUGUUUAUGCCCAUGUGGGUGGUCUACCUUGUAGGGAUGUAACAUGGCUUCAUGUUAUCAUGUUAUCUUUCAUAUUUAACAAGCAUAAUAUCUUGCCACUGACCAUGUACAUUUCUUUUUUGUUUUAUAAAAAAAAAUCUCGGUGGAUGUAACCAAUGAUGUAGCCAAAGCAAUAUAGCCCAUUUUUCCUAAUCAGCAUCGUGCAUUCAUUUUCGAUGCAAUUGUUGUCUCAUGGCACCAGAUGUAACUUAUGAUUUUCCCUAAAAUAUUAUUUUUAAUUUCUCUUGAUUUGCAGGGAUCUUUCUUCAUAUAUCUUCUUUGGUCUGAUGUCUAUAUGGAUGCGAUGGAUCAUGAUCACAGUAUGCGAUGGCAUUGAUUUUACUUGAGAAGAAAGCGAUGCAUGGUUGGUAUGUUGAUCUGAAGCUUGGGUGACCUUGUCGGCAUUGGCUGCCGAUCUCUUCUCUCUCGCAUUCAUGCAGACUUAUUAUGCCAUCCUCGGCAAUCAUUACGAGUAGAUGGUGCAAUUACUUUAUUAUUAUUAUUUGGAAGAUGUUCUAGCACAUGGUGCGAUUAUUUUAUUAUUAUUAUCUGCUGAAUCUUUGUAGAGUGCUGAAUGGGUAGAUGUUCUUCCUUAGGUUACCAAGAUAUAAGUACCUGGUGAUUUCUCGUUAGACACGCAUUCAGGAUGUUUACAACGUCUUCCAGUUGGUUGGUCUAUAGAUUUGCUUAGUUAGUUUUCUUGUUUUAUUUAAGUGUAAUUUUUGUGCUUAAGUUUCAUUUUCUAGAAACUAAUGUUGUUAUGAGGUUUAAAAUGGUCAAAAGGUGCUGUUCAUUUGCAAUUUCUGGUCGUAUUUCUUGUUUGGAGUAGCUAAUGAUGCGGCACGCGGAUGAAUUCAAAGAGGAGGUUUUGAUAUAUCUUUUUUUAGGCCAAAUAAAAGCUCCCUAACAAGCCACGGCGAAUAACAUCGUCACCUUUUUCCCGCAAUAAUCAGAUUUGCAUCUAACGAGAACAGCUUCACUCUCACAACCCUGGAAAACACAAUGAGUAAAAAUAGUAUAACGAAAGGUAUUCCAAAAGAAAGAGCUAUGACUUUAAAACAAGUUGUCCAUACAGAAUAUCAAAGAAUGAUGUUCUCACACCACCCUUAAAAAAUAAUAAUAAUAAUAAUAAUAAAAAAAAAACAACAAACGUCCAAUGCCACUAUAUAUAUAUAUAUAUUAUUUUUUUUGAGAAACAGUGCCAAUGGAAAUAUUGAACUCAAAAUUCACGACUUCCAAGUGAUGCCCUAUUAUUCUACCUUGAACUGAAAAAUGGUGCAUAUCGUAAAGAUUUACAAACCAGAGUUUGUUAUUCUAAAAUAUAAGCCAGACAUAAAAUUCGUGCAGCUGUAAGAUAUAUUUUAUAUUGUGCUUAAUAAACAGAAAAAUGGUUCAAAAGUAAUGUCGCAAGAAGCCAUUACUUGAUCUUUGUUUGUGCAUAAAACAACUGAUGAAAAAUGUUCUGGUUUCGUCAAUAUAUUUACAUCAAUAAUACUUAUUUUUGUUGGGCUUGCUUCAAAUCAGCUUUUGAAGCAGAAAAAGUUGAGAUGAGAUGGUACGAUGACAAGUUUGUUAGCCUUCAAUUAUAGGCAUACCUGGUGCACUCUAUUGCUCUACGGGCAGCACGUUUUUUCCUAUGCAGAAAACGAAUGCUGGAAAUUGGAUCCAAAUCACUCUUUCUCACUUAUGACUGAGGGGGUGCUCAUAGGGAGUGCUGAAAGAGGUGGCCGCAGGAGAAGAUACAAGGAUGGCCCCAAAAUUGGAAUACAUGCCACCGGCAAAAGCCAAGAGCCUUGAUUGAUCCUGCUACAAGGGGAACAAGUGAGUUCUUUGACGAGAAAGCCAUUCUCCUUUUCCCUUUAUUUUAAAACAUUUAGGUUUGUGAGCAUAUUAUGAGAACAAGCCUGGGUGGAGAGUUUUCAGUUUACCAUCUCCUUGCAGUCAUAUCAUUGUAGACCCAAAAAGGUGCGAAAGCUGAGAGUAGUGUAAAAUCAAUGCAUGUAAUAUGGAUCUGCAAUGAAGAAAAAUGUUAUAGGUAAAAUGCCAGAGUUUUUACAUGAGGUUAAUCGACUCUGAUCCAGACUUCACAGAGAGAAGUUCACAGCCUCAAAAAAGUUUUUGUAAAGUAUUUGAUGCAGUUCUGUAAGAACAGCUGAACAGGAGCUGCUAACUAGUUAAAAAACUGACAGUAUUGAAAUUUCCAAUAGUAUGUCAUGAUACUUACAAACUUGCUUUCUCUGAAGUAUCGGAAGAAUUCCUUCCACACAUCACCAUUAGCUAAACCAGCAUACAUUGUUAGGCCCAAACCUGCAACAAGUAAAAUCUGGUGUGCAAUGGAGUUACUAUUCAGUCAGCAGAAAAAGGAAAUUAUAAUCAGGUAAAUACGGUUAAAUAUGGUAGCAGAUAAACCAUCAAUCUGAACCAUUUGGAGUUUCACCUACAAAUUUUGUUUGUUUCCACUAUUUCAAACCAUCACUGACCAAAACUCUAGAUACCAAAAACUUCAAGGCAACGCUUUACAGAAACUAUAUUGAACGAUUGGGAUUCUUUGUUUGUCACUUAAACCUUUUCAAAUUGUAAUCCAAUGAUGGUCAAAAUCAACGAGUUAUGCAUGUGGUUGAUGUAAAAAAGUUACAGUAUCACUCAUAUAGUCAUAUACAUAAAAAUUUUUAUACAACUUUGCUAAGCAAAUCAAAAAGUUAUGUGCAUUAGAGUUUCUUACCCCAGCAGCUAUCUUUGAAUCAAGAAAAUUUAAAGGCCAUCUCCUGAUUUCAUCUUCUCCAAGGGCUGGUGGAGGUGGCUUCCAGAAAACGAAGUAUGGAAUAAGGGCAUAUGCACCGCCAAAGAAUGAAAGCACUAGGAAUGGCCAGACAGGUAUCUUGCUUCUUGAACUGCAUUACCAGUUUGAACAUUUCAAAUUAUUUAACAUAGAGGAAAGUUGACAAAUUUGAAGAUUAAGGUGUAUGAUUUUCACUGGUUCAACUAGUGAUUCAACAAUAACUAUGCACAAAACUGAAUAAAGACAGUCCCAGCCUCAAUUCUUUAAAGGUAGUUGGGGUUUGCACUGUAUCAUAGUGAACCCUUGAUAGCUAAUCAGUUAUCUGUUUUAGCACUUGUAAAAAAGAAGAAUCACCAUAACAAGGCCAAGCCCUUAAAGGACGCUGUAGCUGAGUUUCAAUCAGUAACUCCAUGUAUAUCUAUAAAAAUACAUUUAGUGCAUAUAAGCUCAUUAAAAGUAUAAAUAAAAAAACAUUAACCUUGUUCCUAAAUCUUUUCUUCUCUAUUUUAUUAAAAAAAAUAAUCAUCAUUUGCAGCUGCUUCUUACGACAAAACUGCAUCUGGGGAAGUUACUUAUCUAGUGAUCUUAGUAUACUUUAGUAGGAACUCAUUAGUUCAACAACAAUGAAUUUAUCAUGUAUCUAUCUGAAACCCUUUUGCUUUUACCAUCUUGUAACUUCCCUCUCCCGACUUCUCUCCUAUUUAAAUAUAUAGUAUCCACAAUUCUAAUUCCUGCCUAAAAUUCAAAAUUGAUAAACAUCAAUAUCUCUCUCUAAGUUCUAAAAUAUAUAUUUGUUAUCUUAAGAGAUUUUCUUCUGUGGACUUCUAUCAAUUGUUUCUUAUAUAUUUCUCUCACCGAAGGAGAGAAAAUAUGACUAGAUCCCAAGUUAUGGUAAAGUCUUCAAAAAAAAUCAUAUGUCGCCAUUAUGUAAAGUUGGUACAAACAAAAGAUCAAGGUUUUAAAGCUGACGGGGACAUUCUAGUUUUUCUUUGGAAUAGGAUCCGCUGCCAUCCCAACUAGUCCCGACACUUGGGAUAGGGGAUGUCCUAAAACACGCCGAUCGGAAUGCUGAGAUGAUGGCAGGACGGUCCCAUCCCGAUACUUGGGACGGUACCCCAUCUAGACAUCCUGACAUUCCAUGAGGAUUUGAAACCGGAAGAAGACUAAAUAUAUGCCUAGUACUUUUACUAUGCCAUUUUAAACACAGGAUAACAGCUCUAAAACAAGAAUCCAGCAUCAUACAGACCAUCUCUCAUUUUUUUUUUAAAGAACUCCAAUAGGAUUAAGAGAUGAAUAAGUGGUCACUAUUGCAUCGUGUAACAUAUAAGAAAAGAAAGAACAACUUUGUUUAGACAGAGUUUCUUCUUCAGUAGUCACCUUCUACCAGUAGGAACUAACAGCAUACUAUAAAUGAAAGGCCACAGUCCCAUGAAGUACCAUAGAGCCACAAGUACUUCGUUCAUUUGGAAGCCAUCAUCGCCUUUAAGAUUCAGCAGUUUUUGCAGAUAAUACACAUCGCUAGCCUGAAAAUUUUGAACAAGUAUAUUAUUAAGAAAGAAGGUAAUAAUGGCACAUCUACUAGUCCAAGACACAAGUCCUCAGAUGAUAUUAAAGGAACAGCGCUGUGCAUAUGUAGGCAGUAGGCAAUAUAUUUGAAAGCCCAGCAGAACAUUAUGUGAGCUUUUAUACUGAAUGUUUAUCAACGGAUAAGGAAAAUAGAAAAAUACGUAUUUUAUUAUUUUAGAAAAUCCAUUAAUAGUAUAAUUUUGAAACAGAUCAAGAAAAAUACUUAUAUGUUCAUAAAUCCUUUUCCCCCUUCUCACCAAAUCACAUCCUGUAACAUGUAUCCGUAACCAACAUCGCCAUGCACGUCAAUGCAGGAUUUCGUGAUGCAAAUUUAAAUAUGUAUAAUAAAAUAACAAGUCAAACAUAAAAAUCAAAGUUUCAAAGUUAGUUAUUAACCAGUCAAAAAUUUUGUCAUCCAAAAUUUUUAGGUGUCUAAAGGGUAGAUCUCACAAGCAUUACCCUUGCUAAAGCACUCAUCCAAAAUUCAAGCAUUAGACCAUUGUCUCUGGUGUCCAUAAAGCACCACAACAAUUCAAGACAUAAUAAUAUUCUGAAUAAGUUAAAUAACAGCAUUCUUAUAUCGAGCAAUCUCUAGAAUUUAACCUAGUUUAACAAAAACAAACUAAAAUAUCAAGAACCAAAUCAUCCUGUAACCAAGAAAGAAUACCGGAGUCUGGUUCGGCGCGAGCUGGAAAACGUAAUACAUGAGCCCGGCCCACAAACCAAAGAGCAGGACCGAAGUAGUCCAAUCGUUCCCACUCCCACCACCAUCUCCACUCCUUUCGGCGGUGGGUCCUUUCUCGUCCAGAAAUGAGCCUCCAAAAUUCUUCCUUUCGGUGGAAUCUCGACAGACUUGGAGUAGACCCCUGCUCCCAACGGAGGAGAACGGAUGGCUUAGUCUGAGACCGGUUCCAGGGUUGAGGGUUUUAGGCUUGAGGAUGGAGUGGGUUCUGUGGAAUAGCUUCUGGGGGUGGUGGAGGGAGGGAAGAGGAUAAUGGCAUGAGAGGAUAGGACAGGAUUUGGAUGAGAGCAUGCUGGCCUUCCAAUCUGAACGAGGGAGGGAGUUGAGCACCCGAGUUAUAGCGUGAUCCGGAAACUAAAAGAAUCACGCGUACUGCACGUGCCAAACUUAUGCCACUGUUUCGGCAAUAAAUUUGUCGAGGCUAGUUAUAAAAUAAUUUGAGAGUUGUUAAAAUAAUCUGUCGUAAGUUAAAACUUCGCAUAAUAAGCGCUUAACGAUCAGAGCCUAUUAUGCUUCUUACUUUUGUUGGAUUAGGCAAGUGAAAAUAAAGUCUUGGACUUAUUUAUAUAAAAUAUUUGGUCAUCAGAUUUUACUUAAUUGGUUUUAUGUAAAAUUUCAAAUGGUUGAAAUAUAAGAAAAUAGAUAGAUGUAAAAAAAAAACAAAAGGAGAUACAAAAAGACUUGCUUGGUUAUUUUCUCAUAGAAAUAGAUUUAUGAAAACUAACAAGCCAUAAAACCAAGCCAUAAAACUUCAAAAAUGAGUAUAAAAAUUUCUACUUUUAAGAAAUCUCACCAUCAACCCAAAUUUAUUCUAAUAAGGUAUCAUGUUUUAGUAAACCAACCAAGACAAAUCAUUCAUGAUGACCCAAACCAUUUCAAAGAUGCAUCCCCAAUUCCCCAUCAACCCAAAUUAUCAUAUCAAUCAAUACUGGCAAAUUAUGUAGGAUUGUGUUCCAUGUGAUCUCAUUCCUACUUAUUAUAGCAAAUCUAUUCAUGAAAAUAUCUGCUGCUAGCAUUUCGAGAACUUAAUGUCAAAUAGCCAUCCUCCUUUAUUUUGGGAGAUAUUUUAGUAGGUCAAUAUUUUUUUCAAUACAACUAUAUUCGUUCAAUUCCUUUGCUCUAGAUGCAAAGUUGGUUUUUAUUGGUCAAUCAUGAUUCAUUGUAGCUUCUUAUCAUAUGCAUCAUACAUGCUCGAAGAUAGUUAAACAAAAAAGCCCUAUAGCGCCCACACUGUAAUGCUCACCAGGCUAUGAUCUAAAUCUUCUAACUUUCACCCUAAACCUUUUUGGAAAAGUGAGUGUGUUAUUGGUUUAGGAAUACCUAAAGGGAAUGUGUCGAUUUAGAACCUAACAUAUUUUUAGCAAUUUUAACACUCAAAUUUUAUGCUAGCCUAUGUUUAUAGUUUAUAGCAUAUCCGUAUUUUUAACAUAUGGAUAUUUGCUUGAAACAGAUACAAAUACAAGUAAAAUAUUAGUUAUAUUUAUAUUUUCUCCAUCCAAAUAUGGAUAUACGUUGAAUAUAAAUUAAAUAAAAAUCAAAUUUUGAAUAGAAUUCAAUAAUGAAAGCCAAUAGAAAUAACAUUAUCAUAAAGCAUGCAAACGAAAUCCACUAUUACGAUUGCAUAAUUGAUGCACAAUAACUAGAUUUUAAUCUCGAAUGUGGUUAUUAAACUUGCACAAACAACGAUUUGGCGAAGGAUCUCGAUCACUGAUCUAACUAUAUUUUAUAUUCAAAAAAUAUUAAAAAUUAUAUUAUUAAAUUAAAAUAUAUAAUAUAAAUAUAUUAGAAAUUUAUUAUAUACAAAUGUUACUCUUUAAUUGCAGCACAAACAAAUAAAUCAUGAAUUGUCUAUAUUUCAGAAAACUUGCAACAAAAAAUACUAAAAAAAUAUAGGAAAAUGUUUAAGUUAUUGAUGUUUUUUAAUAUUUUAAAUGAAAAGGUUUUGAAAAUAUCAUAAAGAGUAAAAAGUAAAUUAUACAUUUCCAUUUUUUAUCUAAGGACAAAGAUUGAAUUUUUAUGAAAAGAAUUAAUUAUUAAAGUAUAAAAAUCAAAAUAUAUUUCAAAUGGGUAUAUUUUAUAACAUGAAUAAGUACAAUAAAUUCUGAUUAUAUAACAAACUAAAUAUUAUAAUGGUGGCUGAAUAGUUGUUAACUAUCAAAGAGAUCCCUAGUUAAAUUCCUUCCACAUGUGGUAGAUAAAUGAUUUGGAUAUGGUCCGAUAUGAUCGGACUGUUUUCAGCCCUAAAAUGAGUAAAGAAUUCAAGAAGGAGAAGGCUAGCUUGCUGGAGUUCUUUUCCAGAGUCUCGAUCAGGGUCAUCUGCCUCUGCUCUAAAAACAAAUGGAAGUGCAAAAAGAACAGACAAUCUAAAACCACCUAUAAUAUAAACGAACUGAUUUUAACACUGGCAUAUAUAGAAAAGAAAAUCUUCAGUAAAUAUAAUCCCUGGGAAAUAAAAUCCUCAGUAACAGAUACUCAUAUCAGCGAUAACACUAGAUCAACAAUUAAAGCAAUAAAGCAAAAGUUCAAACUAGAGUACACCACUCCGCGAGUUAUCAACCAAACAAAAAAUCAAACAAAAUAUGUCUUCUGAAACUAAUGCACCAAGUCAGGUAAUCUAUUGGCUGCAGAAAUCCCUAAUUGUGGAUAAACCCUAGAAAUAGCUGCAGGGGGUUCAAAAAACCCUCAAGAUACCCAAUUAGAAAUAGGCUGUUAUAAGGAUAAAAACUUUCAAAAAUGUUCUGCCUGGAAAAACAACUCUCAAAAGAAAGCCUGAAUCACCUACCAACCCGUCAUUGCCACAGUUCACCGGAUCUGAAAGCGACUCCUAGUUUAUCGGAGUUAGAAUACGAAUGGUUCACUUCACAACAUACCUAGCAUCGGAACCCUAAUUUCUAGAUCUCCAGGGAAAAAAUAAAAGAGGAACAUCCACUGAAUUCCCAAGACGAAAACCUAAUUUUCCUGCGAGAGAACUCAAGAACGAUCUCAAGAAGGACAGAGACAUCGAAGGAGAAUGGAUAUAACUCAUACAUUUCUUGCGAGAUCUCAGGAAGCAUCAAGAACGAUCGAAGGAUGAGGCCAAGAACUCAUACCUUGACCCGAAGAAAAGAAGAAGAGCAUCGCGUUCCUAUGAAGAGGAGAUUCUUCUUCUCCAGAGAAGGGCAGACGAAGGAGACCGAUCCGAUCGGGGUCUCCGUCGAGAUGGGAGCUUGGGAAAAUCGGAUGUGUCGGAAGAGAGCAGAAAGAAAGAAACCGACCCCGUUUCGACUUUCGAAAGCGGGAAGGAGGGAGAGAACCGCGAGGGUCGGAAGCAUGGGGGUCCUUUUAUAGGCUACGAUGGAUACGGUGUGAGUCGCAUAGAAAGACGUUAGCGCCCGGCUUCCGGCAUGGAUUGGGAGCGGCAUAUGGUGUGAGUCGUAUAAACGACAUGUAAUGCUGUAUAAUAUUUUUUUUUCUUCUAUAAAGUCGGUUAACCCAUGGCCGAAUAUGAUGGGAUUAUUGUUAAAGUAAAAAAUAUAAAAUUGUACUUCAAAAAAACGAGAUGAAAAAUCAUGGUGCAAUUAAUAAUGAUGGUGUGCUAUAUGCUCUCACAAUAUUAUAUACACCCGCCAUCAUGUGAAAAAGUUUGAAUCCUCUACGAUAAGAUAGUGACAUUGCCGAAUUUUGUAUUAUCAUUGAGACAGACGGUUCGCAUUAAUUCUGAGAACACAUCUCCGUAUUUUUCAGCACAAUAUACAACAUGUUAUAGAUGUGAAAGAGAGCCGUCCAUCUCUGAAAUGGAUGAUGCGGUGGCUAUCUACAAUGAUAUCAUACUCUAUGGUGUAAAAGUCGCGCUGCAGAGAAUCCGGCUCAUAUGUGAAACCCAAGAUGCAACUGCUUCCGGCACUGCUUCCGGCACCCUUGCUUUACGUAAGUCAUUUUAUGUAGCUGUUCUAAACAAUGAUAGCUCCCAGGAUAUAUUGGAACAUAGCUCAGGCUGAUGAUAUAUUGGAACAUAAGACAUUAAAUCUUUGUUGCUUUCUGAACAUAACUCUCAGUUAUCAGCCAUUCAGUGUCAGGCUUCAGUUUCUAAAGUCAUGCUAUCUUGUAAUAAUUUUGGCAAAGGUUAUGUUUGGUGUUCUGCAUAGGAAUUUGCAAAACUUGCAUGCCGACCAUCUAACUGAAAUGAUUGAAGGUUCAUAAGGUUAAGGUUCACUCUCAUGUAAACAUCAGUCCUUGAAGACACGAAAAAAUAAAAAAGAGCAGAUAAGACAAUGUGCCUUAAGAAUAGCGCACCUGGGAGUGAAAUUCAACUCUGCAUCAUAUACUUUAAUGAUCUGAUAUCAUGAACAGCAAACGGAAGCCUUUAUUACAUCCAAGGUCAAACUUCUAUUCACUAAACAAAAUAGUUUAUCCUUUAGAGUAUUAUGGGCUUAAAAUAUGGAUUUGGUAGUAGCUAUGAUAUCGAUAUUUUAACCCAGGGAAAAGAAAAGGAGUGGUGCAAUAAGAUCUUAGUAGCUUGACUCUGGUACCUACAGUGAUAUAUCCACUUUGAAAUCUUUCUAAAAUCUCAAACUUGCACCCACUAUGCAAGUGUUUUCUUAUUAAAAGUGUUUCUAAAGUAUCUGCUUCUUAGGAUCUGCAACCACUCCUGCACCAUUACCUGCUUAUGAUUCUGGCAGUUCAGAGUAGAAUUUGCAAUAUUCACCCCAAGAUAUGUGGAGUAUUCUGAAUUUCAAAUGGAGACAUAUACGGAAUAAAAAUGCAACCUUCUGUUGUUCUUGAAUUUGAACGUGCUUCCUAAGCCCUUCCUCAUGAAAAAGGUUUCUAAACUACCGAUUCCCUACGUUACUCCCACUCCUGCACUUGCUUACCCUGCAGCUGUCUCUUUCUAUAUAUUUUUACAUCAACAGAUAGUGACAAUGAGGUAAUCCGAAAUCAAAUUAUUAUCCAAAUCCAAAUUAAUGGAAUCAUCAUCCAGGUAUGGAAUCUGUAAUCUCUCCUUGCCGAGCAGAGAAAUGUGACCUCCAGGACCAGCACCGGAUCACAUGUUUCAGCGUUGCUCCGGUUCAAAGCUGCUCAGCCAAAGAACAAUUCAGUCAAAGAGGAGGUCAAGGGAGGCCGCAAUGAACUAAAACGAUAAUUUCUACGAAGAAAAGGCUCACCGACAAUAUUGACCAUGUCGUUAACCUAGACCAGCCUUGCAUCCGUCUAGUAGUCAUUGGACAAUGCCUCCAAGACUCGCUUUCUCCAGCCACACCUAAAAUAUCCGUCUCUACCAACAAUGCCAGCCCACUCUCACCUUCUCUCCCAUGGGACACGCAUCUCAACACUCUGUCAUACCAUUCCCCCUAAACGUAGGUUAGCAAUAAUGAAAAACAAUUCAAGCAAUAUAGGAGCAAUUUCAGUUUUGCACACCAGGCAUAAUCCAGAAUUAUAAUAAAAUCUAGCAAGAAAUUCAAGUUACACAAAAACCAAAUUUUUCAUAUUGGCCAGUACUGGUACAUUCCAACCAUACCGUAUUAGUACCAAUACAUCCCAACCAUACCGUAUCGGUACGGAAUCGGUACAUGGUAUAGAAAACAUAUGUACCGGUACUAUAAUAAAAUAGUACUAAUAUGGAAUCCGGUAAUGAGAUAAUGAACCUUGUACAAGAAUGUUAAAAUUUACUUUUAGCUAGCAUAGAACAUAGAAGACGCUUGGAGCUUAGAUUCACAUCAAGUAUGUUCAAUUUGUCUGCAGGUGCAAACAACUACAGGUGAGGCAAUAGAUAGAAACAACAGAUGGCAUCAUUGGUUCAUAAUCAAUAAGCAUGAAUAAGGUAGUUCAAAAGCACCAGUAUGUUAAAUGUUCUGCUGUUAUACAUUACUUUCUGACACACCAAGUAUCAUCCAUGGAUGUGUAAGCAGCAACUUUGCCCCCUAUCAGAGCGGUGCCCUACCAUUUUGCACACCACAAUUAAGAGAAAAUGUUUCUCAUCCAGCAGGACGAAAUGCGACAGAAACAUUAUUCCAGCUUAUUUGUAAAUGUAAAUGAUGACUGUAGAAACACCAGCAAAAUAUCUCAUCAUAAGAAUAGACAAACCCAGGUUCUGAUUGUAUCUCCAGCAUAUAUUCAUAUAAUUACAUAAGUGAGAAAACAAUUCCUUGCUCUUCCAUCCUCCUCAGCAUCACUCCCUCUCACACCAUCUCACCUUCACAAAACUAUAGCAAAGGAAAAUCAAACAGAACCUGCUGCCAGAGCUAAGGCUUUGAUCCUUCAGAAAAUAUUGCAAAACCAACACAGAUUUAGACCCGCUCUUACAAGUCAGCCUUGAUCAAUCAAGAAUCUGCUGAACUAGCUUGAAUGCAGCAAAACCAUUUUUUCUGCAGAAUCGGAGGAGUUGAUGAUAAUAUUAGAUGAUUAUAAUGAAGAAAGACGAAUUAAAAAGCUUGGAGGUUGCAUCCAAUCUUAAGCUGUAUAUGACAGGGAUUGUCAGUAUUCACCGAGCCAACAUAGAUCAGGUGGCUUAGAGCUGAAUUGAUCAUCUAGAAUAAGAAAAAGGAACUUACAGCAUUCACAUUAGGCUUGGUAGCAUAAGGUCCCUGUUUAAAGGUUGCCUCCUCCUUUCCAGGAGAGUCCUGGCCUCGUGUGUUGCCACCUGUCUUCCUCUCAUCUCUGGCUUUAUUGAAGAUCACAGUGAAUCCCUCUGCAGAAGCAGGGUCAUUUACAUCCCACUCACCAAACUUUGGUAACGGCCGACCCUUGUCCUGCUGGAAUCCAAAUCACUAAUAUCAGUAACAAUGGAGAUAUUUUUAGAGGUGUGACAACUGAAAAAGUAUUUACAUUCAAUUUCUUUUCCCUCACUAAAUAACAGUAUCAAAAUAUAAGAACCGAAAAUACUAAAACAGGUAGAGUACCCAGAGCCAAAGAGCCAUAUUUUCUUCCAAUAAUGCAGCAUGCAGGAAAAUCUUUUAUAUAAAAAAUAGUAGGCAUUCUAGAUUCUGUUAUAAGCAGUUGUACUAUGGCAUUUAGUAUUCUGUAUAUGUCCUUAAGUUUGGAUCAAACAUUUUAGUCCCUUUUGUCUCAAAUCUCAAUAAUGGUUUUCUUUAUGACUCGUUGAGUAAGAAACGAAAUAGUCAAGUGUCCAUCUACAUUUGUCAAACUUGUGACAGAUGUGCCUAAGAAUGGCCAAGAUACUUGCAUUUCAGUUACUGUUUAGCAUCAUUGUGAAACCCAUCCAGGUGACUCUCCACAAUGGACCUAUCAUAUAGCCUAGGCAUAUACACAAACACCCAGGUUCCUAGCCAACUUGGAACAAAGCCAUCAGCCACCCUGACAAUCAACUUUACUUGUACAAAUCAGAUUUUGUACUAUAUUUAAUCAACUAAUAUUCUGUAAUACCUUAAAUAAUAGGCAGUGAACAUUUUUCUAACACAUACUAAUCAAAUACUUUCGAGAUAUAUUGUAAUUUGAAUCUAUACUAAAUGCAUAAAUAAAACAUAAAAGAAGUAAUAGCAUAUAUCAUUGCUGGUUCAGGUCAAAUAUUAGACAAUAUUUAGCUGGUUCGGUCAUCCAAGUUGCUAGAGGUUGAGUUUGUGUCUCCAAUUUUUUAACAGCACUUUUGGAAGACACAGAUUGAGAUACAUUAAAUUGCCCCACGAGGAAAACAAGAUUGUGUAGCUGCAAACACACAUGGAGACAUAUAUAUAUAUAACACACACACACAUCAGAAAGUAUAUGUCAUUUUACAUGAUCUCCAGCAUCCAAGAUGCUUGCAAAUCAAAAAGCAAAUAUUUUGAAGAAUCCUACUUGGACACAAACAUAUAGGUCAAUACAGGGACCACCAUUAAAAAUUGGCCGCCUAGAUGUUACCCACCUGCAGGUCAAAGGAGACACGGUAAACAAAAAAGAAUAGGUGCCAGCAGAAAGGGGCAAAAAGCCAGAGGAAAAGGUGGCUAUGGGCUACAAGAAAAAAGAGUAUUUGUUGUUAUAUCCCACAAAUAUAACAGCAGAGGUAGCCGUUAAAGGAAUGAUUGGUGAAUAAGGAUUCAUAAAGCUGACUCCAAAUAGUUGGAACAAGGAUUAAUAAUUACAAUAAUAUCUUAAACCAUUACAUACAUUCAGUCCACAUAUCCACAUAUACACCUAAUAAUCAAGCCUAUAACCAAUCAUUUUUCCCUCGUAGUAAGUAAUAUACCUUAUUAGUCCGUAUGCUUACAUAAGAUGCAUACAAAGUUAUGCAGAACCAUCAAUAUGCAUUAAACAAAAAACACAGCAAGAGAACCACAUUAGGUUCAAGGUAGAAACCAAACAUCGAACAUGUGCAACUAGAUUUGCAAUCAUUACUCAUACUUUACACGAUUAAGCAGACAGCUGCUUAGGCAUUUAAGCAACAGUAACAAAUGCUCAAGCAAGUACCACUUAACUGGUCCAAAAGUAGGUAGCUGUUUAAGUGGCCACUUAAGCAUUUAACUGACUGCUUCAAUACGAGUGUCUAACUACCUAGGCUUAUAUUAUUUAACACCCAAAAGAACGAGAGUCAAAACAAAAUAUUAAUGUUGUCUUAAUAAAAAAUUCGAAUAGAACCGUGAUGACAAGUUACAUCUCUAGGUAAUGUAAGCAGGACACUUCAAUUUCAAGGUAUCCAAGAGUGUCUUCUUUGUGCUCAAGUGUCUAGGAAGUGUUGACACUAUAGACUGCCGCACUGUCCUGAACCAUCUAGUACGGCGUGUACCAUACUGUAUUGGGUUAGAAUCAGUAUGAAACUCACGUUUAGGUUACAGGCUCCAGACCCAAGCAUAUCAAGAUGUACCCCGAGGUGUGUAUAAACCCAUACCAAGAUGUACCAGGAUAAAAAGUAAGACAAAUGGUUUAAUGGUUGUUUCGGAAUAGGAUGGUAUAGCGUACCAUAACGAACUAUACUAUAUCGAACUAGUAAAGUACUGGUACAGUAUGCGACACCGAGAUUGUGAACUUUGGCUAACCCUCCAAGGUUCCUGGAAACUAAAGUGUUCAAGCACUAUUAAGGAACAUGGUAGAUACAAGAUUGUAAAGUAAUAAUGAUAAAUAGGGAUAAUUACAUGCAGGAGCUAGUUUACCAACAUAAAUCAAGAUAAUGGUUUCUCAGUAAUUUGGAUAGAUAGCAAUCCUAUGUUAUCCUCAAAAUAAAUAUGCAAAAUGCUAAAUAGAAAAGAAAAAGCUCACACAUAGAAUAGAUAUACCUAUAUAUAUUCCCUCCUCCAAAAAAAAAGAUUUGGUCUAAUUUUCAAAACUAGCAUAGAUAGAACCAAAGUUCUCUAUCUCGGUACUGGACCCUGUACUGGUACCAUUUUAGUCAGUAUUGGUACGCCCCAUAUGGAGAUCAGUUUGGCGCACCAACCCUCGAUAGGUCCCUUGUACCAUGUACUUGUUAAUAAUAUGGUAGGUACCAGUACCGACCAAUAUGGUGUGCCACGUAUAGAACAAUAUCCUAAUGAGGGUGAGUCUCCCACCAUUGCAGUGCCUGGAGGUGGUCCAAUGUACACAACCUUAUCUUGCAUAUGGAAAGACAAUUUCUGUGUUUCGAACCCAUGACACUCAGGUCACAAUAAAGCAAUCUCACUAUUGCAACAAGACUUACCCUCAAUAGGCAAUCAAAAUUAAAUUUAAAAUAGUCCGCAUAAAUGUUCUCUUAUUUGCAUCCUAGGUCUUGAGCUAUAGCCAAAAUUGAUAACUCAAAAGGCAACUUACUCAAAUUGGGCCCUGGCUUAUAUACAACAUGAUCAAAACUCCAAGUACAAUAAUUCUACAUCUCACCUUAACCAGGCACAUUUGUGAGAAUUGCAAAAUUUUUGAGGCUCGAAGACAAAAAUCAUGGAGUCAAUUCAGCAAAUUUCAAAUAAUGAUGCAUGUAACUGGAUAAAUUAGAAACCUCUGCAAUGCGCAUGCUCUAGGAAAGGGGCAAUUCAGAACUUCUAGUCACAAAUAAUAUUAGGCUGAUUAAUCUUCUUAUAGUUUUUAUGCUUCUCGCAUAAACAUUAGUACAAAGAUAAAAGGACAAUCAGCUCCAUCAUAAUCCCCGUGGUGUGAAAUCCUAGUCCACCUCAUUCAAUUAAUUAUUAUUAUUUUAAAUAAAAAGUUUCAGUGGGACAUAUUUUAAAAACUUCUGCAGCACAAACCGCAAGAUCCACCGCUACAACUCUUUGAUGAAAUUAGGAAACACAAUCUCUCCUCUGGAUGAAACUAAAAGAACUUGUAAUGGUUGUCAACUUCAGCCCUAUCAAGUAUAUCUACAAACAAAACUAGAUUGAUUUUUUUAUGCAAGAAAUCUAUAUUACAGAUACAAAUACAAUUGCCAUGCAAUUAGAUUGAUUUAUUUCACUUCAUCUAUAAGAACCCCGAUGUUUUCUUGUAAAACCGGUCCCAUCUUUGCAUAUGAUUAAUGUUUCCCCAGUAAUUUCUCAAAAACAAAGGAAGUUUGGAUGGAUACCCUUUGGAAAUUAAAAUUUUUAAUUAUUUUCCAAAAUAUUGAGCAUUCCAUUGACAGAUUUAAAAGUUGACCACGAUGCAAAAUGCACUUGCUCACUUACUCUCAACCAUCUCAAGCACUAUUUACAAAUAUAGAAGCAUGCCCAUGCAAAAGAUCAUAAAGAUUAGCAUGUCUAACACAAACCCCUAGGCAAAACACCAAAAAGUUUCUCAAACGAAAAACAACUGAUCAUGAAAUUUCAACUGACAAUACCCAUAGAGCAAAUCAAAGUUAUAUACCGAAUAACUGAAGCAUAAUUAUUGCAUAAGCUCUAGAAUAAAUAUGAUUUAUACAUCAAUUUGAUUAUGACACAUAUGGAUAUGCAGAAACAAAAUCCAGCCAACAUUUCCAUGCACAUUAAGAACUAUAAUGAUGUUUCAGAAUGCUCCAAAUUCAGAUACCAUACAAAAAUGGAUCUUUCUACAGCAUUUAAAAUAACUAACAUAAAAAUCCUCCUCCAAAACCUAUACUGAAGCAUCAGCAAACCCUAAAAAUUUUACCACUAUAUAGUUGUUCACCAAAUCCAAUCAAUUAAAACAACUAACAAGGAGAAAUCAAGGAAGAAAAUUGUUCUUUCCAAAAUAGUUUAAGAGAAAGCCCCAAUACAACAACUCAUCAUCAAAUCAACCACAAAAACGAUGGAAAACAGAAAAAAAGCAAUCGAAAUGGCAUCAAUUUUUCAGCGUCUAAUGAAUCCAAAACCAUCAACAAAACAGGAAACCCACGCAUCGAUCGCCCAAACCACAUGGGACCAAAACAACCCAACGAGGGAUCAAACCCCUCCCAGCCAAUCGGAUCAGACAUCCAAAGAACAAAGAGACCACGAGGAAUUCAAAUUCUUAAUCAGAAUAGCAUGAAAAGGGGAAGAAAUCGGCCCUUACCGACAUGAAUUCUUCCAAGAAACCAAUAAGAAAGGAAGAGCGGGGGUGUGGGGGUGGUGGUGGGUGUGAAGGGAUGGGGGAGAAGCGAAGAAAACGAAAUGAGAGAGAGAGAGAGAGAGAGAGAGGAGUGUCCAAAGUUUUAAUUUAGUAUUGCGAGAGAUAUUUUAUUAUUUUUGGGUUUUAAAAAUUCGAUUUGAGGUAAGACUAUUCGUGCGUGUGAGCUGGAGGUGCGUGGGAAUGCCCCGAGGCCGCCGUCAAAAAUAACGGCGACGGAGGUUGGGAUUCCGCCAUGUGGGUCGCAGAGAGAAAGCUGGGGCGUGGGAUGCGGCUGACGAAACGGAACGGAACGGAGGCGGCAGGUUGGGCGUGUGGGUGUCGUCAUAUAUUCGUUUUCCUUUUUCUUUUUGGGUAAUUUAGUGUUAAAUUUUUUUCAUAUUUUUAUUUUCAUGCAAGUAGGAAGGUUGUUCGAGGGAUGAUACUAAAGGACAUCUGCUUUGUCACAAAUUAUCCCUCCACCCACAUGGCAAAAGGGGAUUGGUGAGAUUAUGAAUUGGUAUAAUACAUAAGGAAGUAGAUGGGAUUUUGAGUUACCAUGCCAGUUACUGUGUGACUAAUGGGCGUCUCAAAAGCAUGCUUCAAUAGAACAUAAAAAGACUAGGAAAUGUUAACAAUUAUUGGAGUUAAAAGGAGGAUUAUUGACAUACAUGAGCUAAAAUCUUAACAAUAUUCCUACAUGAGCUAUAAGGUACAACAUAGGAUGGCAAUGGAUCAGAUAUGGGUCAGAUAGGCCAUUACUCGUAUCUAUCCCAUACUUGCCUUGAGACAAAUCUGAUGGUAAGAGUUAGACACAGCCAGUUGGAUAGAUUGGAUAGGUANNNNNNNNNNNNNNNNNNNNNNNUAAUAUAUAUAUAUAUAUAUAUAUAUAUAUAUAUAUAUAUAUAAUCUCAAGAAAGAAAUUUAUGAAGAAUUAUAUUUAUAUAUAUAUAUAUGUAUCGAGUUCGAUGCGGGUUUUAUUAUUAUCCACCCCGCCUCGGAUCUACUACAGGUUGGGUAAAACCUAUUCCAAUAGGAUCGGAUAUAUGAUGAAGCCGAGUAAAUGGUCCUUUUCUAGCCAUUUAUCCUUGAAAGAAUUAUUGACAAUUUUGUUUUGCAGUGAUGUAACUAAUGCAAGUGAAACAAGAUAGCCCUCAAAAGAGGAGAAAAACGGGCAACUACAACUUCUUGAAAGUUCUCAUAUGUCUGCUUUUUCUAAUUUCUAGCAGUUUUCUCUGCUCUAAUCACUUUAAAGACAUGUAUCUAGUUUUAUAUCCUCUCAUUUGUUAUCAAAUACAAUUUUCCACUUACAGGCAAUAAAAUUUCAGAUAUAAAUAGGCUGGGUCAAUCAAUUUACAAGUAACCAAAAGAGUAUAAAUACAAGGAAAGCAUACCUAAACCUGCAUAAAGGAAUAGCUAGCAAACAUUAUAAAAAAAAAGCAACAGAGAAAAAGCAUCAUCAUACACACCAAGAAUUUAGACUUGUAAUGCUUUUACGAGUGUGCCAUAUCAUUAUUAGACCUCUCCGAGAAUAAGGCAUGUGGGGGCAUAUGCCAAUACGUGUUAGCUCCGCUGGUUGCACCUCUCUCUCCUCAGGACAAGUUUAGACCCCACUGGUGGCAAAUCAGCACCUGUAUUUCUUGUAAAAAAAAAAGUCAGGAGUCAAAAGCAUCAUAUAGUGGGUCAUCAUGGGUGAGGCAACACAAAAUAAUCAAUUUGCAAUCUAACCAUAACAAUAACAACCUAAGGACUUACAGUGCAAGUGUGAUGUACAGGCAAUCCUUAAGCUCAUCUGAAAUUUGUCUUUUCUAUGAGCUGUGAUCGACAAACUUACAUAAGCUUAGGAAAUGAUAGAAAGGUUAAAGCAAAAUUGAAUUGAUAAUAAAAAGGUAUAUACAAGAAGGACCAGCUUAUUCUGCAGUUUGUACAUAUUGCUUAUUAAGCUCCAAGCGACCACUUUUGCCACCAAAAUCCUAGCCAAAGGCGGUCCGGUCGGAUGGGUCAUCAUUUCAUGCAACAUUGACAUAUGAUUAUUGCAGACAAGCUUUCUACUUAAUCCACUUAUAAUGGCAUCUAAAUGACACUGCUGGGUGACAUUUGCAAACGUUUCAUAGAAUUAACAAGUUUGAAAGAGUUGGUCAUCUGACAUUUCUCAUGGUACUUCAUACUUGGUAAUAAGCAUAUUGAAAGUCAGGUCUUCAGGAAUUAAUGACACCUCCUCCUCACAUCUUCUCCAAAAAAUUUACCCCAAUAUCCAUCAUAUCAGACUUGCAAAGACCGAGAAUUAGUGAAUGAUAUGCAAGAUCAUCAGGCGAAAAGCCCAUCCCCUAUCAUUGUUUUGUUCAGGUUAAAUGAUCUUAUUAGUUGGCAUUAUUUUUGAUAUAUCCAUGCACUAGAAUGUUAUAAGUAGCCAAAAUUUAUCAAUUUUUUAAAUAAAUUGCCCAGGAGAUUCAUAGCAGCAUCCAGCUUGAAGCUUCCAAUAAGCAUUCAACAAAGCACCAUUAAGUAAUCUCAUCAGGCAGAGCUGGGUGCAGACAGCCCAUAACUUCACUCAGCAAUGCCAACACGAUGGGCAGCAGCUGUCCGUCUCAAAGAUGGGCAACGUGUCACCUAGCCGAGCCAAAAACACGCACUGGUAUCUGUCGUGCAAAACACACCGCAACGGGAUUCAACUCUGUGGUGUGCUCAUGGUGCGUUUUCUUAGGAAACGACCACCUGAGACAAAAUGUAACCCGGAAAAUAUUUACAUCAGUUCUCUCACCCUACAAGAAUUGUAUGCCUAACUCUAAUAGACAAAGUCAAUAGAAAGUUUUGACAUCUGGACCAAGCCAUUUAAGCUAAUAUAUAUAUAGAUAUAUAUAUAUAUAAGCCAACCAAUUAUUCAUUUGAACAGCCGCUAGCCUCCACAAUCUGUGGGGCAGAUAAAGGGUGUCUAAUACAAAAAGGAAAAGAAAAAAUAUACAUAAAGGCAGGCUACUGUUUUUCAAGCAUAUACACUCCUCAAAAUUAACUGUAGAGCCUAUAUCCAAAAACAAAAAGGACUCCAAGCCCUUGGUAUUGCUGUCAGAGUGCAGAAUAUCUUCCCUGACUAUAAGGUAGCUAGGAGUUCGAGGUUAGAUUAGUUUUCCCUUCUCCAAAAACUUCUCCUAUGCCAGCCAUUUCAGAGAGACAAGCUUUUGACAUCAGCUUCAUCUGAUUGCCUCUGAAACCUGCGAGACCAUCACUGGUGAUUACACAAUCAAUGAACUGCAAAAUAUGUUCAAAUAAAGACUAAGCACAUCCCAUCAUUUAUUUUUUUGCUAAUCGAUUAGAACAUGAUUGACCUGCAGUGCUGUAAAGAAAAUAAAUUGAGUCUCUUUUUGGUAGCAAAAUAAAUACGGUCCUGGUAACUAGUUAAAUCCUUUGAUCUUAUCAGUACUUUUUGUUCAAGCCCUCUCCAAAACACUAAGGAUCUAGCAUUGAUUGCAUAUACAUUUUCUAGUACAACCACAGAUACAACCAUUCUUGCAAGCAUAAUAUCUAGGUAUACUUGAGUCAAUUUUUAUGUUAUUUCAACAGCAAAAAGUAAACUCAUCUACACCUAUUAAAAGUCCAAGGAAUUUUCUAAAACAAAAGCAUUGUCUAAAGUAACACCUAACAUUUUAAUUCAACACCAGACCAAAAGCAGCCAAAAAGAUUGCGACAAACAAAAACUAUAAGCUGGUGGAAACAGAAGACAUGCUAACCUGUACAUCGCAAUCAGAAAAGGAUAAUUGGCACCAAGGGGAGAGGUUGACAAGUACAAAACAUCAACCAAAGCCAAAACCUUCACUAGCUUCAUGGAUGGCAAGCAGCAAGCGUUCUUCUAACUGCUCCUUGGAGGAAUAUUCCGGCAGGUCUAGCUGGUUGAAACUGCAAUUGUUUAUAAUAAACUUUUGAGUAACAUCAAUAUUUUGAAAAAGCAACAUCCUACUUGUUACGUAACAUUGCAGUACUGAAAUGCAUUCUAGUUUUGCUCCUUCGGUUAGCAAGUCUAACCAGGUAUGGGCAGAAGGUAGUCUCUCCGGAGCACCAUAUGCCUUGUGAAUCUGAAAAUGUUGAGGGCCAGAAAGACCCUGCAAUGCUUUAAAGCCCUCUAAGGGAACCUGAAAUGGCCAGAAGCAAUUCAUUUAGAGAGAAGACAACAGUAGUAACAGGGACAUCAAUGAUGCCUGCUGAUCUAAAUUAAAAAUUAGAUCAAAUAUUUUGCUUUUCUUUUCAUCAGAAAAAUGUUAAUUUCUAUGCAAGCAUUAACAGAAAAUAUGAUCAACUUUAAGAGGCCAUGUAAAUUCAACCUUGACCAUCCAGUGAAGGUCAAUCACCAAAAAAUCAAGAACUAUAUAAACUCAAGGAUAGUCAAGAUGAGGUUACUAGCAUAUCAAACUCCAGUACACUAUCGUCAUCCAGAAUUAACCUUAUGCAAUUCAACCUGGAUUCUAAUGGUGUGUGCAAAAGAGAUAAGAACAACUGACUGACUGACAUUGAUGAAAAUCAUGAGAAAGGAUUUGAAGAUAGAGCAUGAAACCCUUGAGAGGAUUAGAUCUAAAUGACAUUUAGCUCUAGAAAUUAACUAGAAUUGAAUUUAACUUUCCGAGCCACAAGUUCCAGGAGUUGUAAGUUCUCAUGUGGCAAAUCAUUUCAUCUUUAUAAAUAUAUAAUCAUAUAAAGUUACACAAUAGUGCAGGACACCAAAUAGACACAUGCAUUGCUCAAGUUAGCCUUUAAUUUCAUAUUUUUUUAUGUUAUUCUUUUUUUAGUCAUUUUAUAAAGUUUACUUAUUUUUUUUCUAAGAAUAAUUCACGUAGGUAUUUGUAUAAGCACUCACCUUCAACUUCAUAACUUUAAAACAUUACAUAUAUCUUAGUUUUUAUUGCUUGCCGAAUAUAAAUGCUAGUUAUUUGCAGUGAAAACUCAUCCACUGUAGGGACAAGCAUGAAGUAUGAUCCAGAAAAAUAUUUAAGAAUUCAAAUUGUAAGCAUGAUUAUUUUCUCAUAGGAAGCAAUAAAAAGUAUCCUACAAUGGAAAAAUGAUUUACAAGAGCUUAUCUUUUCAUGUUGUUGCAGCAAGUUACAAUAUUCCUCUAAGCCAAACUCUGGGCUCCAUCUCUGUUUUGAGAGUGUAACUGAUCUAGUCAAAUAUUCACUAAAACAUGGGAUAAGCCAGCUCCUUUUCUUUGAUGAGUGAUGGAUCCAACUUUGCUAAAUUAUUUUCUUCAUGAACAAGCAUGUGUCUUUCUCAGAUAGGAAUGCCCUAGCCAAUUUUAAGAUCAAAGGAUGGCAAUACUACAGCUGAUUGAUUAUCGACUGACAUACUAAUCAUGAGUUUCCUUGUUUUAUUUGGUGAAACUCAUGUUUCUUUAGUUCCAUACUAAGAAUUCAUUUCAAACUUGGUCUUCUUCUCUAAUGAAACCUAAUUACCAAUCCUAUAUUUCCAUGAAUAAAAAGUUAACAUAAAAAAGAUCAUAUCUUGAUGAUUAGCACAUGAAAGAUAUUCACUAGCAUCAAUUCUUGAACUUGAAAAAGUAAUAGCAAAAUCUAUCACAUAAUAACCUUCCUUAUGAAUGUAACAUUAUUGUCACAUCAUAAUUACCUUAGAUGUUCCAGUUACAAAUUGAAGCAGUCUUGCCAUAUCCUCCUUGUUAAAUGCUUUAACAACCUCCCAGAACCAUUGGAUAACAGGAGAUGCAGUUGUGUAGCCAGUAUACUCUGUGUUGGCUUUCAAAUCAUCGACUGCAGGCACCAAGGUGAAUCAUAAAGAUGAAAAAAUGGUAAAACUUCUAAUAACAGUAAAAACCAAAAGCACUCACGAUCGAUUUCUGGAAGUCCACUAAUUAGAAGCUCAAGUUCCUUGUCAUUGAAUAUUGAAAUAAGUUCCCGUGGAACUAAUUCACUGAAACCCUCUAAAAAGGAAUUAAUCUGAGGACGAAUAGCUGUACUCAAUAUGUGUUCAGCCACAAGGUCCACAUAGUCAUGCUUUGUUUCUUCUGUAACUCUGAUAUUCCUUCCUCCAGGUAUAAGCUCAUAGUCAGUAACCUCCAUCACACAAAGGGAAAAAACAGUUAGUUGGAAUAAGCAUGCAUAUAAAUCAGAAAUGAAUUACAAAGGCAAUCUGCCUUUCAUUUGCAUUCAAAUAAUUUUCAACAAGGAAGAGAAAACUUGCCAAUUUUAAGUCCGCCAGAAAUUAUCUUAAACUAUAUAGCAUAUUCAGAUACUGAAUUUUGCUUACCUGAUUUUUCUCAUAAAGGAUGUGUUUUUCCUCAUCGGCAUCCAUGCUAAAUGUCAAAUCAGGGAUAUCACUUACAUCGUUCUGUUUAAAAUUCAAUACAGAACAGUUAGUUUAUUAAAAAUACCUAACACGAGACCAAAACACUAAACACUAACCUCAAGCAUCCACUUCAAGUUCUUGUAAUAAUCAGGAUCAACAGCUUCUAUGUCAUGAUAAGUUACUUUCACACCAAGAAUGUGCUUGUAAAAUGAGCGAGUGAAGUGAACAUCCAAAAGUUGGCCAUCAAACAGUGCUUUUGCAACCUGUAGAAUUUGUUGAAAAUAUAAAAUGAUAAAGAAUUUUUAAAAGAAUUACUAUAGUGAGAAUGAUCAGAUUCAAUAAAGAACUGAGGAAUAUAUUAUACUACCACACGGCCCACAAACUUGAAAUAUGAAAGAUGCUCCGUUUGGUAAACAGAAUUUGGAUUAGGCUGGAAUGCUGCAUUAUUCCCAACAGUAGUGAAAAGCAAGGCUCCUUUGUCAAAAAUGACCCUUGAGAGCACUUGAUACCAUUCCCUUGUUAGCCCACCAGCAUCAAUCCCCUCUUCUCCCUGAAAUUGUACAGUUAACCGACCUUUCAAGUCCUGACUGGGACGCAACCGCAACUGAUUGUAUGAAUCCUCCAAGACAUAUGCCCGGCGAACACUGAUCCGCAGAGGAGCAGAAGGGUGAUGGUCAUGUUGCUGUCUAAUACGUGACCGAAAAUAUGCUCUCUUGUUGUCAAAAUCAAUCAGCCUUGGAACUUUCAACAUCAUAGACAGUGACUUUUCGAGCAAACUUGGACUUUGCCUUAUAAAAACAUUCAGAAGGCGUCGAUGCUUCUCUACAACCCUUGCAAAUGUCAUAGUGCCAGUUCCACUGCACUUAAGGGAUGGUGACAAUGAAGUACUGGCAAAUUCUUUGACUUCUCUUGCAGUCACAUUGUUAUCUGGCAGCGCAACAGUUUGGUUUGUCUGCAGCUUCUCGCACAGAACAAAAAAAGCUUCUAUGAAUGGCAAUAGCUGCUGUGUGCCAGGAGGAAGAAGUGGAGAAAGAGAGGAAGAGGCACCAAUAUCACCAGCAUCUGGCAAAAGUACAGGAGAAGAGAAAGUUGAACUCUGCCCUAGCUUUGCCUCAGUAGUGCUAAUGCAGUCACUUAGUUCUUGCCAUAAUGGCUCAAGAGCUGCAUUUAGGUUCCAUAAUAUAGAUUGUUCCUCAUGUUCCUCAACAUCUUCGCCCUUUUUCUCAUCAACUGAAGUGAGUGCACCGAGUGCUUGUAGCACACGCAAGACUGCAGCUCCAGCCAUAGAACCAGCACCAAGUCCCAGCAUUUGCGUAUUCCUCAAAGUUACGAGCUCAGAAACAGCAGAAGAACUCAAAUUAUGAGCUAAACCUGCUAGCUCAGUUGCAAAGAAUUUUCGAUGGGGAGAAGCAACAGAUGCUAAUUUUUUUACUACUUCAGCAGCAAGUGAAUAUACUUUAUCUGAAAGUCUGAUUAAUACAUAAAUUAAAUUAGUCACUAGGGCUAAUUCAAAGGAGACAAUGGAGACUCAAAACUAGUCACCACAUGAAAUAGGAAAGUUUCAACAUGCAAAAACAGCUUCUAAGACCUGGCCUAAUAUGGAGACUCCAAACUAGUCAUCACAUGAAACAGGAAAAUAAUAUAUGCAACUACAACUUUCUGAGAUCUGGACUAAUAUGAACAAAACCGAAUAAAUAUCAAAAGCAUUAGCCAGAAAAGUCCAGACAGUAAAAGGGGUGAUGCAGGUCAAUCAUGUGAAUGGAGCCAACUCAUAACUCAAAAAUGACCUGAGUUAGUUUCCAUUUUUUAAGUACCUGAAUUUGAGGAAAGAAAUAAGAUAAAUUGGAAAAAAUCUUGAAUAGAUCCAAGGAUUAGCAAUGCUUUCACAAAUAUGAUUAGUUUAAUAUUACUGUUUUUCAACAAAGUGACAGAUAAGAUCAAUUUCAUGAAUUUUGAUAACCCUUUACUUUUUUCAUUGUAAUCCAAUAUUUACAACAUUGUUGAUAACCCUUCAAUCUUUGGGGAUUAAUAGAUAUGCGAAAUAUACACCUUCAAGAUCGGCCAAAAUUUUAAGAGGAAAAAAUAAUAAUUUAGUAAAAUGGUUAAGUGUUUUGCCUUCUGAGCACAAAACUAGCCCUCUUUAUCUUUUAAUGAAGUCUUCCAAACAACUGUUCAUGCAAAGAUGGACGACCUUGGAGAGAGGUAUGUCAAGCAUUGCCCUUUCUCAGCUAGUUACCUUCUAAUUUCUCAUAAGAAUCAAGAUUCAUAGUAUUCUUGUUUAAAUCAUAAUUACAAUGUUUAAUAAGUAUAAUGGAUGUAAGGAAUUACUGAAUACAAAAAUGUUCUAUUAACCAAAUAUCAAAAGCACAUUAGCUAAUGGAUGUACGACUAUGAUGGUGCACCAUUAGAUAUGAUAGUUGAAAAGUAAUAUGAGUAUAUAAUGUUGUCUUGGCUAAACAUUCCAGGAACAUGAGGAAAAAGAAAAAGGAAAACAAGGAGUGAUGGUUCAGUGUCUAUAGGAGCUUAAAUGACAGUAGUGAGAAUUAUACAAGUUUGAGCCAGCAGGAAAACUGGUAAUAAGAAUAAAAGGCCAAGAGAGUCCAUAAAACCAACUCAAAGCAGUUGGGAUAACACCACUGGUUGUGGUUAUGCAUAGUUAGUUACUACAUUGGCAUGUGAAAAUGCAUGAGAUACUCUGUUUCGGCAUAAGAACAGUAAAGCGUAGAUACAUGAACACGUGGUGUUUCUCUUUCAAUACUGAUAUACUUGAAGGCUGUAGAUAAAUAUUCCCAUCUCUACUUAUUGGGCAUCCUCUGUGCCUAACCAUUUCCAGAAUGUCUAAGAGAAAGGCAAAUCAAAAGAAACACAUUUCACAACCAAUGUGUUAAAACAAACCAAAUCCUCUGUGCCCUACACUUCAACAAACAGAAGGGAGAGUGUUAAAACAAAGCAAAUGACAGUAGUGAGAAUUAAACAAGUUUGCAUCGACAGGAAAACUGGUAAUAAGAAUAACAGGCCAAGAGGGUCCACAAAACCAACUCAAAGCAGUUGGGAUAACACCACUGGUUGUGGUUAUGAAUAUUUACUACUUGCUACAUUGGCAUGUGCAAAUGCAUAGAUAUUCUGUUUCAGCAUAUGAACAGUAAAGCAUAGAUACAUGAACACCAUGGUGUUUCUCUUUCAAUACUGAUAUACUUGAAGGCUGUAGAUAAAUACUCCCAUCUCUACUUAAUGGGCAUCCUCUGUGCGUCACCAUUUCCAGAGUGUCUAAGGGAGAGGCAAAUCAAAAGAAACACAUUGCACAGCAUGGGAGUUCAUUAUCUCAGUUCGUUCAACUGCUAGGGCAGCACAUAAAUCAUUAGCUUAAGAAGCAGCAUAUGUAGUAGUAGUAGUAAUUCAUAAUUGCAAAUUUGGCCAGUACAGGGAUUGCACUACUUAAUUGACAUCAAAGUUCCAAGCAUAAUCAGAACCCCAGCAAAUCAAAGAAGUUGCUUUUAACAAAAUAUAUUUCUAGAUAAAUGUUGGCUCAAAAAAUUUACCCUUCAUGAGCAAGAAUGGUGCAGAGGUUGUGUAAAUCAGAGUCAGGAAGCUGUAAAAGAAGAUCAUAUUGGCUCACAGGGUUAUUCCUGCCCGAAGAUGGCACCACCAGGCAAGGACCUUGAUUCUUCUCCAGACCAGGGUUCUGUUCUAAAGUGGAAGAAUCUUUUUGAGUCUCUUGAUUCGCAGAACCAUCUGCAGCUUGUGCAGAGGGAGGCGGGCAAUCAAUCUUUGAGACAACAGUGUUAACUACUACUUGGAUCAAGGACAUAACCUGCACAAGCGACCAAAUCCAGUUGCACAUGCAAGUAAAAUGCAAAUAGAAAUACAUCAGCAAUCCAUCAUAAGCUUGCGAGUACCUGCUCAAGAUGUGCAUUGCUGCGCAGAAAUAACGGUCUGUUCAAAAGCUUCAAAAAUAUAACUAGAGGCAUAGAACCCUUAGGUGAUGUUUCUGGAACACUUGAUGAGGCCAUUGCCUCAAAGAUUUUCUCUUUACCUUUUUCCCUCUUGUUUUCUGAAUGGAUACUGUUUGAGGAUUCUGAGGCCAACACACCAUCAAAGUCAAAAAGAAUGUCUGCAACAGAUGAAUGAUUUGUUGCCAGGUAUGUCAGGAUUUCAAGAACUCGACGAGACACGAGAGUUGGAAGGCCUACAAAAUAAUAACCAUGAAAUGUCACGAAACAAAGAUAAUGAUAACAGAGGAUUACCCCCAAAAAAAGAAAAAGAAAAUAAAAUGAGAUAAGUAAAAGAAUAAACAGAGGCAAUACCAUCUGUGGGUUGAGGACGGCCAUAGACAAUAUUCCACUGACAUCCAUAAAGCCGCUGAGAAAUCAUGCUUGCCGACCCACUAUGCCCAUCAGCCUCAGGUCUAAUCAUAUCAACUAAAAGGCCAACCAAAAUAUUACGUGUAAUACUAUGUGCACAUAGGUUCAAUAGAAGUCUUUGGAGAAGGCCUUUGCCCAGGGGCUGCCAACAAAAUAAAUACAAAAAGAAAAAGUGAUGCCACAUUAGUUCAGCACUGAAAUUACCACGGUAAGUGGUUCUCUGUUGACCUGCUUACAGCAGGUCAAAAGAAAGCAAAACUCAUACAUAAAGAUCCCACUUCCACCCCAUACUCAAAAUUUCAUAAUGAAAGAAAAAGUAUUAAUCUAAAUCCACACUCUGCAACGAGGGAAACGUAUCCGGACACAAUAAGACUCUUCCAGAUAGUACAUGGUUUUAAAAUAUCGGAUAUAGUAACAACAUCGUACAUGUACAACAAGUUAUUUAUAAAUACAUAAAGCAGUCAAAAGUUAUACAUGUUCUUAAAGUCAUUUAAUUCAAUGAAUCAUUCAAACGAGAUUCUGCAGAAGUAGAAUUUUGGAUGUAGUUAAACUGCACAUUUUCAGUCCCCUCUUUUUUUCAAACAACGCAAAAUGAAUCUAAAUAUGAAUUAUAAGCAUGUAAAUAAGUAAAUCAUAUUACUAUUUAAUAAACUAAGUUAAGAGCACCAACCAGUUGUUCCAACAAAGCAGCCAAACAAUCACCUAUUGAGGGUACCUAGGCAAUUAGACUACAGUGACGUAGGUCAACUCUCAAAAUCAUGUCUCAACUAAGUGCAAUGAGAUCUGAACCACAUUAAAACCAAUAUAAAAACGUGUAUAAGUACAUAAUCACAAAGAAAUUCUAGUAGAAUAAAUAAAAUACCUGAGCUAAUCUUAAAAGGCGAAUAAGAGCUUUCAAAGCAUUUGCAUCCAAAAGAGGCAUUCCCUCAAUUUCUUUGAUCUUUGAGCUGUUUGCAGUGGCAGACACUGCUCUUCGACCUAUAGUAACUCCCACACCUCUAUCCAUUACUAUCUGCCUGUCAAUUGCCAGCCUCCUGCCACCAAGUCUAUGGCUUCCUCCAAAGAAGCCGCUUCGAGGAUGGUAUCUAUCUCUAAGCAUUUGGGCCUCAGCAAGUAAAGCUGAAGGUAAUGCUGAUAAAACUGCUUCAGAUGAGGUAAGGAGUACCUGCAGUAGGGAAUAGUGGAAAAAGUCAUGACACUGCAAGAUAAUAUAAAUUAAUAAUUAUCAAAAGACAUACCUCCUCACGUAGAUCAGGAGGGAAAGUAGCUAUAAUCGAAGCAUUAUCCAUGUCAACUGGUUGCCCCUCCGCUGGCUGAGAAUGCAUGCUUCUCUGUGCUCGUUGUUGAGCCAAAACUUCAGCUUGGAUAUCUGGAGGAAGAGCAGCUAAAAAUUCAGGAUCUAUUUCUUCUGUGGGUGGUGGAACAUAUGUUUCAGCUUGCGCAGAUCGAGGUUGGGAAAUUUGCUGGGAAGCCAGCACUUCAGCACGGAGAUCCUCUGGCAGUGCCUCCAAAAAUGUUGGGUCAAUUGCAUUCGUGCUAGAAGCCUCAUUGUUGACAUUGACUUGAUCAGCCUGAUUAGCAUCUUGAGGAACUGUUGGAUUUAGCCUGGCAGAUAAUUCUUCUCCAUUAGAAGCAGUUACAGGGCUCUCAAAUUGAUCCCCAACGGUGUCUGCUCCAUUCAUAUCAAUAUCUGCACUUGCAAGAGCUGAACCAGCAUGACCAUCACUGAACUCUGGCAUGCCAGAGCCUGAAGAAAUAAGGGCAUGACUACUAGAAUGGCUAUCCAAAACUGACAGUCCCUCUCUACUUUCAUUGUGCAAUUCCAAAUUGUGAGGAUUGGCAGGUGCUUCAGAACCAUCUAGCAUAGGGUGAUCCAGACUUUGUAAGUCAGCAGAUGAUAUAUCCAUUUCAGGAAUAGUAUCUAAAGGCACAGUGGUUGGGCCAACUUCUUCCACAGGUCCUUCCCCAUAGUGUAUGGUCUCACUACCAUUACGUGCAACAUUCAGAUCAUCGGGAAAUCUUGGCCUUAUUUCUGGUGUCCCUUGACUCUCCUCUGCUCCAACAACUGACUGUGCAUCAAUUAUUCCAUGAGACAGGUUUGGAAGGCUUGUAUCAACUCCAACAGGCAAGUUCCCCGGCUGAUGCCCUGGACUAGUCUCUAAUUCUUGAUGCUGUCCUUCACUUGGUUCAGUGGGAAGAUCAUCUGCCACAGGUGCAUCCCUAUUGGCAUUUAAUAGAGGCGAUUGUUGGUUAGCUUGUCCUGCAGAGAGAUCAAGCUGUCUCUGAUCUGGAGGGUCAUUGACAGUAAUUAACCCGCGCAACUGAGACACAAAUUGUUCCUCUACUGCCUGUGCAAUAGCAGCAGCAUGGCUACCUGCCUGAGGCAGACCAUCAUCAGUCCACCGACUAUCACCAGCUCCCCUUCUUCCACCAAUAUUCAAAGAAUCCAUGCCAAGUGAGAAAUCAAUUAGAGGAGGGGGUGCAGUACCAACCAAACGGUCACCAAACAUAGUUGCAACAGCAUGUUCAGAUGGAAGUCCAGCAUCUAACAUGUAGAAAUGGGCUACAUCAAAACCUCCAAAUGAUGAAGCUUCUAAGUCUCUAGAUGAGUUCCCGCUAGCAGACCACAAUGAAGCAACCGGCUCCCCUAAUUGUGAAGGUCUCACAAGUAAUGGAUGUUGGAAAGCACUUCCUUCAAGCCUUGACCGAGAAAGAAAAGUCCUGCUACUUUGACGGCGGCGUUCUAUACCCAAUAGACGACGAAGACGGGAUAUGUCAUCAUGAAAGGUCUCUGCAGCAACAUCAUUGAAACUGCUUGCAUCACCAGGUCCCCUUAAAACUCGCAGGUGAUCUAACCCAGAUAAACCAUCCCUCCACCUCACCUCAAUAACACGAUUAUCAGGGAAACCGUCAUCUUCUUCAUCAAGCAUGUCAUCAUUAUAUUCAUCACCCAUACCAUUGUCAUCAUGGUCCUCCACAUCUGUAUCAGCUAAAGACAUUAAUGCAGCUCCUUCUUCAGCUAUAUCUUCAUCCUCUUCCUCAUCCUCCUCAUCGUCAUCAUCAUCUUCACCAUCCUCCCCUACAUCCUCCUCAUCUUCAUUGCCCAUAUCAUCAUCUGUCUGGUGUUCAACAUGAAAAGUCAUUCCAACCUCAUUUGAAUUCCGUAGUGCACCACCUUCAUCCAUGUCCUCACGCAUAUACUCCAACACAUGUUCAGCAGGUGCAUUAGUGACAGUGUUUUCCUCCCCAUCAACUCGCAUAUCCUGCUCUAUAGACUGCUCUGUAUUUGUCCCAUGGUCCCUAUCAUUUUGAGAAGGUUCGUGAAUCUGCUGCUCUGCAGGUUGUACUGUAACAGUAGCUUCAUGCUGAUAGUUUGCAUUUUGACCGUGGUUUUCAGUUUCAACUUCAGAAGUAGUCUGAUCUACAGUUCUACCUUGUGCUCCAGAAGAUCUUUUCUUACCAAGCCCAUCCAACUUGAGCACUUGAUCACUAGCAUUGGCAGCUCUUGUAAGACUUUCUAAAGCCUUGAGUAUCAUGUUUACAACCUUUGGAGCAUCUGGGUGGUCCAAAUCUAUCACUCGAAGGAUACCAGAAAGUGACUGCACCAUUCCCCCAUCUAUCAUGGCCUUAGCAAAAUCAGGUGAGCAUCCAGGACCAGGCAAGUUACUGGACGACAAAUUUCUGGACAAAAUAGAAUUUACCAGACCAGCAAAAGCUAAAACCUUCUUGUCAGGUAACAAACUGCUUUUAGAGGAGUUGCCUUCUGAAUCUAAAAUAGAAGAAAAUGCUUUCACAAUUUCAGAAAUAACUCGUCUGCGCCCCUCAGUAGAUCUGCCGCAUAACACUACCAAGAACCAAGAUGCUUUUUCAGACAAUUUAUCUUUCCAUUCAUCUGAGGUUUCAGCAGUUCUCUCAGAAGACACUGGAAGUAGCUGAUGCAAAACAUGAUGCACUAUUCCGCCAUUUCCAGGGCCACCUGCUAGCACAGAUCCCCGUAGCUGACAUGUCUCCAUAUCCCGUCUCAAGAUUACACUUACUGCAUGGACAUACAUGAGAAGUAUGUCACUCAUCAACUUCAGGACAAAUGUCAACUUCGCCAGCCAUGCAGAUCUUUCAGAGAGACUAUCAUCAUCCACCUUCUUUGUCUCAUCAACUUUUGAUUUACCCUUUUCCUUUAUAGCAGAUUCAUCAACUUCCAUAGGAGUUACCGCACUAGCACUUUCUUCAAUUUUCUUUGCCGACGGAAAGCUCAUAACAAUUUCCAAAAGUUGAUCAAUCACCUGGGAAAGAUUAGCAGGAACUCUUUUAUGGCUUCUAGAACAUUUGCCGGUAUCAUUAGGUCUAUUCUCAGGCAUCUUAAUAGGCUCAUUAGAAGGGACCCCAGUUUCAAUGCCACAAGCUUUCAUUUUGUCCUUAUCUUUUUCUUUUUCCUUCAACAAGACUAUGUUCAUCCUCCCUCCUGAUGACUCCAAUUGACAAACUGCAGCUGCAGCUCUCAUAAAGAUCUCAGGAUCUCUAGAUAUGACAGGUGCCAUGGAUGUCAAAAAUAUGCGAGGUGAAAGACGGCCAGCAUGUCGGCUAAGAGUGCCAGUAAGGGUCUGCCUGAUUUCCAAUUCCAUAGCAGUUUGUAGAGUUUGAGGAUCUUCAAUGAGGUGCCGAACAAUAACAGAUGCUAAGCUGUCAAACCCAGGGAAUAUACAAGUUCUUGGAAGACUAAAAAGAGCAGCUAAACCUCCAGUUUCAAGGAACUGUGUUGCUAUAGCAUGUGUUUUUGUCAAGCGUGCACAUAAUUGUAGAAUAGCCUGCAUAGCUACUGCUGGAACAUGCUGCUUUAUAAGUUCACAUGAGAUAGCCAAUGCCCGUUGACUCUCCUCGAGAGAUAGAUAACCAGUUGAUUUCCCUAAAAUCUUCUCAAACGCAUUGCCAGAUUCUCUCUCAAGGCCAUCUAACUCAGAUUUUUUCUCAGUGGCAGAUGAAGGAUUUGCCAAGGAGAUGUCCACUCCAGAUGAAUCAGAUAAAGAUCUAGAAGAACCUUCAGCAGUUUCUGUAUUAAAUUUAGGUCCAGACUGCAACAUAUUAUUGAUAAUAAGCAACAAAGCACUUACAAUUCUUGUUGCUGAAGGCUCAUUUCUGGACCCAUUCCUUACUCUGAAGCUAGCCAGUAUAUCCAGUACAACAGAAACGGUACCAUUCUCUGCAGCAAUUUCCCUUGUGCUACCGUCUUCACUGAGAAGCAGCGCCAAAAUAUGCGAGAUAGGACAUAGUGCACUGAUAUCCUUCGAAAAAUCUGAUGGGCAAAGCUUAAUCUGCUGAACGAGAUACAACGUCACCCUUGGACGGUCCUCCCCUUUGUUUCGAUUGCAAAGUGUCACUAACAGAUCUGUCAAUGGAAAUGCCAUCGAAUCACUACUUUGAAACAACUUCAUUGAUGUACCAAGAAUAUCAUCAACUGGGGGCAUCUCCGGCACCCUCUCUUCAGCAAAUGCAUUUCUUGUCUUAUCAUUGCUAUCCUCUUUGGGUGUUUCUGAUGAAUUUCCCAAGGACAAAGCAAGUGCCUGAGCAAGCUGAACAUCCUCCUGCACAAAUUCCUCAGGAUGGCUAAACAACCAAUCUGUGGCCAUCUCAACACUAUUUGUGCCCACAUUUCUCAGAGCUUCCUCAGCUCGAGCCCUGGUAAAACCCAUCUCAACUAUAUUGGCAACAGUAGAUUCAUCAAGUGGAGGGCUAGUGAGCCGUUGGCCAGUGCUUCCUGUGAUUCCAUUGCGACCACGCUUCGGAUCUCCAACACCAGAGUAUAUAUGAGUAAUAAUGGAAAUCAUGGAGGUAAUAAAAGCUGAAUUACAAUUAGGAAACAUAGGGUGAUUCCAUACAGGAAGGAUCACAUCUAGAACUUGUGAUUGCAACAUGCGAACAAAUGCCUCAGGGUCCCUUGGAACAGAGAAAAGAUUAAUUGAUAAUCCAGCCACAACAGGUUGAACAAGAAGCUGAGCCUGAGAUGGCAAUGUUGGAGAUAAAAGCAACGAAGAAUUGCAAUGAUAUUCCAGCAAACGACAAUAGCUUUGCAACGUAUCCAGCAGCCAAGAACUGUGAGAUACCUUCUCAUCAAUAGAGUGUCCUUGAUCAGACCCAGCAGUCGGGAUAGAUAAAGGCAGAGUCCACAGUAACUGGCUUGUAGCCUCAAAUGUAGUCAGAAGCUCCUUAAAUGUUCCAUUGACAUAAAAACUGUUCACCAAUGUGGUAUUGCAUGUACGACGUCUGCUGUCAAAAGUAAGUGCAGCCAUGUCUUCUACAACCUUUCCAAGAUACCGACAUUUAACAGAUAAUGACAUUUCAAGGCCGGCAAUAGAAUGUCCAGAAUAACUAAGGGCAUCAAAGAAAAGUUUCGCGAGAGCAGUCACAAGGCUCUUCGAUGCAGGACUCAGGGAACUGGAAUCACCUCUACGACGAGCAGAUAACCCUUUCACAAGAGUAGCAAAAAAGGAACGCAAAGCUAAACCAAGUUUGGUUAGAAGUUCUGAGACAAGGAUGUCUGGACUUCUCUUUUUAGUAUACUGAAUCAGGGAACUCUCUAAUGUGCUAAUGGAAAUUUCUGAAUCGGUAUGUGUUGCAUCCAUCUGCCGGCUAAUCCUACCACCACGUAUCCGUGACAAUGCAUGUCGACCAUGCCGAUGCAUACUUCCAGCAGAACGUACCACAGACACAAAAUCCUGUUCUACACUCCAUCGCGAUGAAGAUGUAUUCCUUAUUGAUACAGGGUUCAUAUAUCGGACUACCGGAACAAUAUUUCCAUCAUCAUCGCUCUCCCUUCCUGGUACAUUAGAAGCAGAAGAAUCUCCAGUUCCAGCUUCUUGAUCAGUAUCCCGCUUCUCAUCUAUCUUGGAAUCACUAGAUAAAGAGAUCUGCCACAUUAUUUCUUUGUAAGCCUUACCCAAUUCCUGCAGAAUAUCCGCAUCUGCAGAUCCCAACUCUGAGACCAUAGAAGUUGUUCCCUUCAAAAGAAAAUUGGAAAGUGACAACAGCCCCUCUAAACUAGAGAGACAUUUCAAGACUUCAGUUUGUUUUAAGCAGUCAAUAUCAGCUAGCUUAGUUCCACAAACUGAUGAAAGUAAUUCAUUUGACAGCUUAAGAUGUUCUCGGACGAAAGAGCAAACAGCCUUAGCCAACGCAGCAGAAUGCUGAGGUGAAAAGUUUUUAAAUGCAAUAGAUAUACUCUGACCAACUGACACAGAAAUUGGCAAUAACUGAAGAGUAAAUAAUUUAAGAACUGCUUCAAUACCCUUUUUCUCAAUGAAUACACGGCAUGUAUCUGCAUUCUGAAGAACAGUUUCAAGAAGACGAGCAGCAUUGCUUAUACACUCAGGAAGAAAUGACUCUAUGGUCAUAGAUGCAUUAUCUGAAGACACCUCAUUCAUCAGUUCAGAAUUUCCCAUCUUCAAUGUUUCCCCUUCACCAAGUGAAAUAAGCUUCCUCUCUUCUAGGUCAGUUUCCAUGGGAACAGGAGUACAAGAGCUUGGCAACUCUGUUGGAGAACAAGACUCUAAGCCAGAUCCACUUUUUGAUAUUGUAUUCAAAAUUGAAAUAAGCACAUCAACUCCAGAAGCACGUAGGGAGGAUGCAUGACGCAUUAAUUCAUCCAAUCCACUGGACAAGGUUCCUGGUGUUUCUCCACUGAGGGCUUUUAAAUAUGACCUCGAAGUGAAAAUUUUCACGAAACACCUUAGAGCAUCAUGAUCCUUCACCAGUUUAAGACCAGUGUUGUUAAGACACAAUGCGUCCAAGCACUGGGGGAUACAUAUUACUGCUUCAGCAGAGCAGAGAACACCACUCGUGAUGGCAUCAAGAAAAGCCCGAGGCAAGUCAGCUGCAUCAAGGGCAGGAAAACAUGUGGGAUCUUUAUGUAUAAGAUCACUCAUAACAUUUGCAGCAAGUGAAAACACUCCACCGCCAAAGUCUUUUGCCCUCCUAAAAAUAACGCACAAGCAUGGUGGCAAUACACUCUCUUCUGCGCCAUCAACACGAGCAGAACUACCAGGGACAUAAGUUGCAAGUGAUAUCGUCCGGAGUAAUGCUUUCAUUAAUAACUUCCGGUGAUAUGAAACCAAGGAUUCAGAAUAAAGAGGUUGUGUAUCCAGCUCAGAUGAACUGCCCAUGACUUGCUUGCCCUUACCAUUAUGCUNNNNNNNNNNNNNNNNNNNNNNNNNNNNNNNNNNNNNNNNNNNNNNNNNNNNNNNNNGGCGUGCAAUAGUAUCAUCCAGACCACCUAAAUCUCUGAAUAAUGCUGAAGAGGGAUUAUGGAAGUCUAGGAAGCCCUCAAUCACAUGAACUGCAGUACUAACAAGUUGUAGGUGUUGUGGAUUAGUAUCUUUAAGAAGGGGCAAAAUAGUAGGUAUAAAUCCUGCUUCCUGCAGAGCUAAAGAACCAGGAGUAGAUGAAACCAAAAUGGAGACAAGAGAUAGAAGCGCUUCAGCAAAACCGAUAGACCAUUUUGUGGAACCGCUGGUAAUAGAAUCAACUGCUUUGUGCAUGAGACUGGGAAGGAUUCCACGAUGGCCACCAGCUGUUACAGAAGCCAAAACUGUAGGUUGAUGAGAUCUGUCUUGACAAAGAGCAACCAAUGACUGAAUUCCCAGGAUUUGAAUUUUCUCAGGAAUUUCAUCUUCAUAGCUUAGUAAAGAUAACAGUUCAUUGAUAAAUUCAGGUUGAUUGUUAAAAAAAGCUGCCAUAUCAUCAGCAUCAUUGCUUGCUUGAACAAGAACUAUGAAGGCAUAUAACUGGAUACGGAUGUACUGAUAUCGAGCAGCUAAAGAGUCAAAAGCCCUUGCAAAUCUCAACCUUGUCAAUAGUGAGAAUCGUAGACUGGGAGGUAUACUGUACUCCUUAACUAACUUAUGAAGAAGUUCAAGAUCAUUCUCACUGUAACAAUUGAUUUUUGGCAUAUGAAGGACUUGCAACCCCUGUUUCUCAUGUUGGACAAUAUUGGACUCUUUUGAUGUAUCAUGAACAGAAUAGAACUCAAAAUGAAGUGUGGAGCCAAUCUCAGAAGCAAUUGGAUCGCAACCAUUUUGUAUAGAACAAGCAAUAAGUCCAAUGCCUUCUUCCCUGCCCCCCCACCCUUGUGAAAAUGCAAAUAACUUUGAAGUCAAAGAAGUAUCUCGUAUGGAGCACUUCCCAACUGUUUUCUUCAAAAAUGCAGUCAAUGUCUGAAGGCUUGCCUCAACAACAUCUGCAUCAGUUGAAGCUAGAAGAGAUGACAGAUGCUGCUGCAUUCAAUAAUGAGAGUAAAACAAAAAUAUCAGCUAAUAAUUACAAAGGAAAGCAUGGUUUUCAAUUAGAACCAAAACAUAUACUGAAAUAAAAAACAGUGACGGCAUUAUAGACCAUGAACCUUAAAAAUCAUAAAAACAACAGAAAAAGCAUGCAUCGUUUAACCAAAAAUAAAAUGCAUUACAAGAUAAAGUAGCAAAUCUCCAAUAAGAUGAUACAUACCUCAAAUGAACUGUACAAGUGCUUAUUUGUACAUUUUUCUACAAUAAUCCUUGUGACUCGAAGAAUUUGAAGAACUGCUUCCCUAGGAAAUGGAGGAUCCCCUUCUAGAAAAUUGUCUUCAAGUUGCAAAUCCUUCCUUGGCUUUAUAAACUUCUCAAAGAAUGAGUCAAAAUGAUUAAAAAGAUCGAUCCAGUGAUGAAAAUCUCCCUGUAUAGAGUGAAGAUAGGAUCAGACACUUCUGACUGCUUACAGGUUGAUAACAAUAUGAAAAAGAUUUUAAAAAGAUGACAGGAAAAACAAACCUUAUCAAACUCCCAGAUAAAGUCCCUCAGCGGUAUUUCUACAUUCUCGAGUGCAGCAGUAGUAACGCUGCUAAUAAAGGAUCUUAUAUUUAGAGGCUGUGGAAAAAAGAUUGCUAAAUUAGUUAAGUCUACUAAGGAUGGAAGACCAAAGACAGCCAAGGUUCGCCAUACUGGUGUGUACCACCUCUUCUGGCCAUAUCGUACUAUACCGGUACAGAACCAAGGCUCGUUAAGAGGAUGUACCGAGUCUCGGUACACCAAACCAACCCCCAUACCAGGUGUACCAAUACUAUACCAGCAUAGUAUCAAUACAAAAUCCAGUACCGAGAUUGCAAACCUUGAAAAUAGUGAUAGAUUGAGAAGCAUUAAAAAAAAAAGAAACUUUAUAGUUGGGAAGCGCAAAAGAAGCGCUACAGCAAAAACCAAUGAAAUAUGAGGGGCAGAAAGAGAGACAGAAUUUUUAAAAAAAAUGACAACAUAAGGCAAUUGCUUUUAGAACUAGCAAAACUGUAAUAUAUAAAUAAGACAAAAAGUUUUGCAAACAUUAACUUGGUCAAGUACAUAUUAUGAUACAAUGAAGGCAUAAGUCGGGGUGUGAAUCAUGCUGAGAAAUUGUAACAAUAUUUAAAAAGUAUUAAAAAAAAUAAAACUCAGAUAACAAACUAAAAUUCAUUAUACUAGAAAGAAGCAUGCAGUUGUUGAUGAUAAGAUGCUAAGGAAUGUGCAACAAGGACAAUGCAAGACCUUAAACCAAUAAGAUCAACUUCACCCUUAUUUUCUAGUUACAAAAAGAUGGACAUCCUUCUUACAGUGUGCAAAAACAAUCCUGAUAGAUAGUGAAGAAUCAAAAAAGGCAAGCAUGCCAUAGUCAUGAGAAAAAAAUCAUUCUUAGUAAAGAACAUCUAAUUUUAUAAUUAAAUGGGAAUGCACUAAUAGCAACCAUCUAGAUUGGAGAAUUCUAAACUGAGAAUCUGGAAAGUUUACAGAUAAAUGAUGACAGGGGAUGCACCUUUGCAACGUCAGAAGCCAAAAUCCUUCCUUAUUGAUUGUUGCCUUGGGAUUAUUUGUCUUUAAACUUAUAUUUUUAGAACAACCAUCUGCGCCCACUCAUUUUGAUAUUUGAAAGGUUAAUUGUUUUCUAAAACAUAACCAAAGUACGGCAGAAAAUAAGAAAGCUUGGAGCUCUUCAUCUCAGAAGCAUUUUGGGGAGAUUUGGAAAAAAGAAAUAGAAGACAUACCAAUCAGUGUUAUCAGUGUUAGAAGGGCCAGAGUAUUUUGUGUGUGUGUGUGUGUGUGUUGUUUUNNNNNNNNNNNNNNNNNNNNGUUGUGUGUGUGUGUGUGUUGUUUGGGGGGGGGGGUUACUUCAAAAAGGUUCCUAGCUCGGGGAACCGCUCUCGGGAGGCCGGUACACAGCAGAAAUUGGCCAGUUUCGGCCCUAAAGGGGGCAAAAUCGUUUUUCACAGCCGAACCGUACCGGUUAGGGCCGGUACUGGUACGCGCUGAACCGCCAGUUCGGGCCGGUUUAGCAAACCUUGGUUUUAAGGGAUAGUUAGAAUUUGGUUUGAUUCAAGGGUCAACCUUUAAUGUUGUCAGAUGUUCAGACUACUAAAUGCUUGUUAACAUCUUUGUUGUGAGAGUAAUUUUCAAGUUUAUUUGAUCAUUCGAUGGAAAGAAGUAAGCUAAGGUUUGUCCGUUGCCUCCUACCCUUUUGUUCUCCCAGCUUGUUUCUUCUUCUUUCCUCUAAUUCUUCUCUCCUCAUUCUAUGUUCUUCAACUUCUCUUCCAAUUAUCAUAUCCUCUCUACUAUUUAUUUUUCUGAAGUUAACAAGUGGGCAUAAUUUUGACACAUUAUAAGUCUUUUCAGUAUCCAUAAAAGCUUAGAAUCCUAAUCCUACCAACAGUUGCUAGGCUGAGAAAUUGUAGGAAGACCCUUUGGCUUUCUUGUACUCCCUAGACUUGCGACCAGCUUCAAUCUGUCCAGAUUUCUUGUGCAGAAAACAAACCUAAAAAACUUUAUUUAAAAGAUUUUUUAAAAAAAAUGUGAAACCUUCACUUCAAGGUCCAUUAUUGCAGAUAUGCAGCUGUAAAUCCUAGCUCCCUACAUCACCAACAACCCUAAUCUCAUCCUGAAAAGCCUAAGACAGCCCCUUUUUCACACUUCAAUUAUCACUUUUCAGCAGAUGAGCCCAUAUUUGUGGGUUAAAUCCAUAUACCACCUUCCAAUGUGACAGGCUAACCAUAUUUCUGUAAAAAAAAACUUAAACAAAAACCGAUAAACAAUGGAAACCUAGAAAAUAGAACUCCCAAUGCAUGCCUCAUCCAACAACUAAGCUAUGCAAGUUGGCCCUCAAGAAGUCAUUCUAUUCCUAUAUUCACCUUUCAUGCAUCUGCACAUGGAGUUGUGGAACCACGGCUUGGGGCUUGGCACAACUGCAUUANNNNNNNNNNNNNNNNNNNNNNNGGGAAGUCUAGAAUAGAAGUCCAAAAAGCCAAAAAUAAGUGGGUUGGGCAGUAAAUUAGAUAAACAUUAUUUGCAAAAUCUAUCCAUUGCCAGCAAAAGCAACUUUAUUGUACAAAGAAAAUUCAUAUUAAUAUUAAGAGACAAUCACUGUUGUAUGUCCCUUGUUUUGCUUUGAAUCAGGCCAUUUCUCCUAGCAUCUUAUCAAAGGAAAGCCUAUAUCAUUGCAAGCUUUUCUGUUUUUAAAAAUAGCAUAAAAUAAUCAGAACUCAAAAUAGUAAAAAAAACUAGCAUAUAACCCGCAUGAUGGGUACAAUUUUUUCUCCUUUUAUAUAUAAUAUUAUAAGUCAUUAUAUUAUAUAAUAUACUAAAAAUGUUAUAUAAUUAUAUUAUAGUAUUAACUGUAUUAUAUUAUAUAAUUAUAUUAUAUACUUAUUAUAAUUAUGUUAUAUAUAAUACAAUGAUUCUUGUUUUACUUUAGCUUGGUGUUUGUUUCAUGGAUUUUAUACAAGCACCCCUUUUAGCGUAUCAGUCCCUCAUAGUAGAAUUUAUAAAUUAGUCCAUGUUAUUGACCUAGUUACCCAUGAAUACUGAAUAAAAUAUAAUAAAUGUCAGGUUUUGCUUUGUGUAUUUGAAACAUUAUAUAACUAUGAGCUACCAAAAAAAAAAAAUUCUAAGUUGCCAAACAGAUAUGAGGAAAAACCUAUGAUAUCCUCAAAAUUAUAACCUCUUUUCUAUUUCCUGGAGUCAAGCAGGGUGGCUUGGACUGCAUUUCACCUGUCCCUCUGUUACGCUGCACCUUUUAUUUUCUCAACCCCCUUGAUUUGACCCUACUAUUAACCCUAUUUGAUUGCUUCCUCGAAAUCCAAAUAGAUUUUAGAUAGCCCACCCCCCUUCCUUCCAGAUUUGUAGACUCCAAACCAUGUUCCAAUCCAGCACAGCCCCUGCCACUUCCCCAUUCCCUUCCUUCCACAUGUCCUCCCACCAUCCGUGUCCUAGACCGCAUAAAACUUUUUAUAAAACCUCUCGUUGAUUUAAUUUGAUACAAAACGGAAGGUGGAUCUGAGAUCUUGUAUAGAAAUUUCCUCACAAAAUCGGCUAAUAAGCCAUGCUUUCCACUGGCUGGUUCAGUCACUGCCCAUUUGAAUUCCCGGAUGGGGCACGCUCGUGUAGUGAAUUUGGCAUGAAUUUCAAGUGAGUUUCAUUUGGACCUUAGAGUAAAGGUUAAAAAUAAAAACAGUAUCCGCAUGGAAGUAAAUAUUGUCUAAGAACCAUAUCCAUGUGGAAGUAAAUAUCGUUUGAAAUCAUGGCCCAUGGGAAAUGCCCUUCUUUUUUUUCCCAAACUGCAAAAAAAUACCCUCCAUUCAAGAAGUGUUUCCAUGUAAAAGUAAUAUCGUCUAGACAUGUGGUCGAUGGAGAGCAAUAUUGUUUGGACAUGUGGUCGACGGACAGCAAUAUUGUUUGGACAUGUGGCGGACGGAGAGCUGUACCAAUGUAAAGCCUCUGUUUUAGGAUACACGUACAUUAGAUAAUGAAAAUGGAAGAUUCCACAAUGAAUUUAAGUUAUUAGAACAGGCCUUACAGAUAGAAUGAUUUUAAUCUCGAAACUUUUGUAGGCACUGAGGGAGACAUUGUUGCAUUGUUAACACAUAUAACUUGCUUAAAAUCAAGUUCUUGCAAGUUCAAUGCAGAUUCCAUUUCUUCUAUAUAUUUGCCAGGUUCAUGGCCUGUUACUACAUGUAUUAUUUGAGCACUACUUGAAGCUUGUGUAUCAGUGACAGGGUAUAACUGCAGGUAUAGACAUCUCAAAACUUCUUAAAUACCAUUACAACAGUGUUACAUGCAGUGUCUGUUGCUUAACAAAUAAACAUAUCUUGCUUAAAUGGGCAUCAUGAAAUGUAGAAGGAAGUGAGCAUACCAAAUAUGUUCCUAGCUUGCUUAGAAUUAAGAACCCUGAUUUUUGUAUAGUUUCCCUGAUUUUUUGAAGCCUUAUAUGUGAUUUAGAAUAAUACAAGGACAAAGCAGGCUUGUAUCUCAGAAAUAAAGCAAGAAGUAACUUCUCUGAAAACCCUCUUUUUUCUCCUUUUUCCCAGUAAAUAUACAGAAAUCUCAUAAUGUUCGAGAUGGUUAGCCUAAGAGUGCAUAUCAGAAGACUCCUGAACAGUGGAAGCACAAUUUUCACUAGAACUAAGUUAAAUUAUCACAACAUAUCUAUGAAUCCUCCACACUUUCUUCUCUUUGACCUCAGAUCUGAGCUAAAAUAUCUAAAACUUUCAAGGACUUACACAGCACAAUGAACACACUAAACAAGUAAACUUUGAAGGACUAAUAUACCCUUAACUAAAACAGUUACAAUAAGAAGACAGGAACUAAAAAAAGUACAGAAAACAGGGUAAGUGAAAAGGUAAUGAAAAAGUGAUGAGGACAACAGAAAAAAAUUACAAUAGACAUGAAGGUACCCUGAAAAGCAAGAGGGAGCUAUCGAGAAUCCUGGGAUGCACAAACACUGUUUCAAAAUGUACCCAGUAAUCUCGACAACAAAGAGUAUGUUACUUCAACAUUGCAGAUAAUAGCAUACAAAGGCAUUUUUGUCAUUAUGAGAGCUUUAAUAUUCUAGACAACUUCUUUUCCAAAAUUAAGUUGACAAAGAAUAGUUUCCCCAACAAGAUAAUUUACAUUGUCAAUGCAAUUCUGCAAUUGUUCUUGCUUUAAGAUUUAGGAUCAUAUGAUCCUCUCGGACACCAAAAAUAGGGGCCACGUCAUACCGCAAGAAAGUCUAGUAAAAUUUCGCCCUUUUCUUGAUCAAGAACAACGAAAUUCAGUUUGAUCAGUUGAAAUCUAACAUAUCUACAAAGGAGAUGUUAAAAAUCAAUCGUGAUACUCACUUUCUGCGUGGCUAAUUCAAGUAAAACAACUUUACAAGGAAAAGAAAUUUAGUUUGAAAAAAAAAAAGAAAAAAAGCAAAAGAAUACAACGAAAAAAUAAUAAAACAAUGAUCACAUAAUCAAUCAUCAAAAAAAAAAAAUCUUCAUCAUGCAACUGUGUUUGUAACCAAGAAAAGAAACCCCCCCCAAAAAAAAAGUAAACACACAGUAAACAAAUAAAAAAAAAUCGAAUCUUUCCUUCGGAAUUCGAAAUCAAGAAGAAAAGAAGAAUAGAAACAUCAGACAGAAACCAAGAAACGAAUCAAGAUGAUCAGAGGCCGCAACUUACCACUUCCAAAACCCUUCUCCGUUUGAACUUCAUCUCAAAUUUCGCAUCGCCAGAACCAAGAACGGCCCGGGGAGAGCAGCCGUGGAGAUCCCGAUGGUCGCGGAACCCCACCGAAAUCCAACGCCCGAUCGCAGUAGAAUCGGCAGUAGAGUACGAUUUCUGCUGCGAAAAUCGGAUCAAGAAGGCCUGAUACGAAGAGGAGGAGAUUGAGAUUGGGCAAGCGAGAAGCUAUUCGGAUCGUUUGGGAGGAAAAUUAGGGUUAGGGUUAGGGUUUCCGUCGCCCCGAUGGAAUCGGGAGGAAAGAGAGGGAGCAGGGAGGGAGAGAGAGGGGUGGAGAUGAAUUCCAAGCAAGGAGAGCAGCCGGGGAGUAUAUAUAGCGUGGCUCCAUAGGAGAAAGGAAACGAAAAAAAAUAGCAUAAAAUUAUACACGGACUAAAAUGCCCUCGAGAUUGUUGGGAUUUAUGCUGUGGGAUAUUUCACGUGAAGUGUCCAUGGGAGGUUUUCUUAGGCUUCAAGACUAUGUUUGUAUUCGGGAUACGGGAUGUUUAUCCCCGGUAUAUCCUGGAAUAGCUGCCAAACUCCUCCAGUGGUCGGCCGGAUAACUUUAAUCCACUAAUCCGGUCGAACCGGAUCUGACGGAGUUAAUAUGCAUAAACUGUUAUCAUAGGGUCCCUGGGGUUGGUCUGAACCCGGUAUAAACCGGACUAAUGGGUUUGUUUUAUCCCUGAAUUAAUGACCAAUGCCGCCCUCGGUCGCUCCCUCCUCCUUUUCGCCGGUGCUCGCUUCUUUCCCUCUCUCUCUCUGCUCACCCUCUGCCAUGGCCAUCUCCUCCGAUCUGUCGCUGAUCCUAAUCGAUUGCGUUCCUUUACUUCGUCAUUAACUUCGUCUCAUCUUCUUCCGAUACUUAAGGCGGAGCUCGCUCGCUCUCGUUCCCCCUCUCCUCGUGGGGUCUUUCCUAGGGUUUGUGGGCGGUCCACGGCGACGGGGAGGUUCCGGGAGGGAAGAGUUCUUUAAUUGCCCGGGAGGGAAGGUAAAGCCUUUGUAUCAACCCUUUUUCCCGCAUCCUUCCUCCGUCCCCCAAUCCAUGGCUUAUUUGAUUUGUUAACUUUUUUUUCAGGACUUGGCUCUAGAGAAAUCGGGAAGAAAAUGUACAAGGACGCUGAAGGUCCGUCUUUAUUUGAUUUGUUUGAGCAUGCAGAUAUUGUUAUUAUGAGUUUAGUGCUAUAAUUUUGCAUGUCCAUUGUGUUUGGAAAAUUUUUGAGAGCUGCUUACUGCCUGAUAUGUCACUGCUUUACCCUGACGUAUAAUUUUUAAGAUACCUUUUUUUUUCAAAAAAACCUUGAGCUUUCUUGGAUUCCGAACAAGCUUGAAGUGAACCAUUAGACCGAGUAUAAGAUUCAAAGGACCCAAAAGUUGUAGGAUUAUAAAUACAUACAUGCACACAUAAAUAUAUUGGUCUACUUUUCUCCAGAAGGAUCGAGACCUCUAUCCUACCAAUGCAAAAUCAACGAAGACAUUUCAAAUUGAGAAUCCAUACUGUUGAUGAUCAUCUAUGUAAUAAAAAUAUUAAAAUAUCGGUGAUCUUGUAUUUUGAGACCUCGCAUUAUUUAUCAAGUGAGCUUAAAAAUUGACGGUGGUAACAAUAUUAGUUUGCUAAACUAUAUGAAAAGACGUAUAAUUUAAAAUCUACACUGUUGAUCAUGGUCUACACAUUGCAGAACACGUGUAAACCAAAAGUCGGUAGAUUUGGAUGUUUCGAAACCAUAAAUCAUGCAAAAGACCAAUAUUAAAUCGUUCGAACGAUAUAUUUUGAGCUUCUUGAUGCAUAGAAAAAUUACCUCCAAAAGUACAUGUUUUGAUUUUAUAGUAGUCUAUGUGAUAUAGAUCGUAAUCAACGAUAUGGAUCCUUCAUAUAACAUCUUCAUUUUUGAUAUUUGAUUGGUAGGAUUGAGACCUCAAUCCUUUUAAAAGGAUAAUAGGUGAACUCUCUCUAUGGAGAGAGAUGAUGGCUUUCGAGCUCCAGGGAACAAUGAGUAUAGUUAUUCCCUAUGCAUAAUGACGGAAUUUGACUUUCAAUAACUUCCACUUUUUAUUGUUUUCUUUUUUGGUCUUCUCAUGGAAAGUUUGUGUCAUUGAUGUCAUCCAAUUUCUCAUUAGAUUUUAGUUCAAAUAUCAAAAAUUACUUUUGGUCUGGGAGAAAUCUUCUCUUUCCCACAUUCCAUCUUCUCUCCUCCUCCAUUUUGUUACUUUGAUUCUCCUACCACCAGCCACAACCACAUCCCUCUUGCCAAUCCUUCCACCCAGUGGCCACUCCUCCCACCCCGUUAUUCCUGCAGCUGCAAACAACAACCUCUCAUUCUUUUUCAUUGGCUGUCAACUAUUACUCUUUGGACCCUCCUCCAUGGCCGUCCACCACAUCUCAUCAUAUGCAUAGCUUCUCUCUCCCCUGUACUAUCUGACAUUCUGCCUCCUUCUGCGAUCGCCUACAUUAUUUCCUUGUCUCUCAUCACUUUGCCUGCCGUCCUUGUCUCCAAUUUCAUUCUACUUCCACCCACCACUUUUCCUAGUUCCUCAUCCUGUCAUGUAUCACCUCUUCCCUCUUCUUCCUUGGACCACUUAUCCAUAUAAGCCACAUCAAUCUCCAAUUCAAAACUACUAAUACUUGUCGAAUUUUCUUGUUUUAUCUAUGAUGAUCAAUCCUCUGGUGAUCAACUGGUAAACAAGAUCAAGUUAUAGUCAAAGAAUUUCUCCUCUGACCUAUCUUAUGCAUCAGAGGAACCCAUGUAUCCAGUGAUUAUUUGCUCGUGAUCUAUGCCAUCCAGUUUUCCAUUUCUGCUAGUAUAGAGAAAAUGCUUAUGAUAGCUGAAAAAUGUGUUGUAUGCUAUCUAGAGCUUCAAAGGCAAUGACUGCUAUGCAAAUACAGAGUAUCCCUAGAUUUUCUCAAUUAUUUGUUCUUAUUUUUUUAUGUAAAAAUUAAAUGGUGUCUAAGAAGAGUACGUAUAUCGAUCACAUUUCCAUGGUCAUGGAAGAGCAAUGCCUAUAAAUGUUUUCUUUUUCCAGCAUCCAGAUUCUUUCUCGGAAUAAUAAUAUAAAGUAAGCUACCUUUUUCAUCAUGCA
Molecule: long non-coding RNA, 70841 nt
Filed under: Phoenix dactylifera (date palm)
Lineage: Eukaryota; Viridiplantae; Streptophyta; Magnoliopsida; Arecales; Arecaceae
Description: long non-coding RNA (PDAC_LNC000806)
Source: RNAcentral